CCCUGCACGCACGCCGCACACGCACAAGCAAGCUCGCUCUCGUCGCCAUGGCUCGCAGUCUGCAAUAAAAUCGCACGCACAAGCAAGGCAACCCACACGUACGUACCCGAAGCCGGUGUCGGCGUAGUAGGGGAGGUUGGUGAGGGUGGUGUCGUCGACGUCGAACACCCACACCUCUUCCCCGUCGCCGGCGAGCUCGAGCCCCUCGGCGUAGGCGGCGGCCUCGCCUGCCACCACCGCGCAGUCCUGCCUGAACAGGUCGCCGUACAUGUAGUCGCGGACGUAGCUCCGGCACUCGGCGGGGAUGCUGUACCAGUCCCGGAUGUUGUUGGUCUCCACACCGAGCCGCCAGCUCGCGCACGACGCCACCGCGCGCGCCGUGCCGGCGGUGGAGGUCACCAUCUGCAGGUGGUGCAUGUCGCCGCCCGCGCGCGUCGCGCCGGCCGCGUGAACGGCCACCACCAGCAGCGACACCAGCGCAUGGCGGAGGAGCUGGAGCGCCAUGACGGCGUGUGUACUGUUCCAAUACUGUUGCUUCGUUCGUGCGAACCGCUCCUGUUUCUUUAAAAAAAAUGAAAAAGAGAUAGGAACAGGAAGGAGUACUGCUCAGGUACACUGUUCAGGUUUCAACAACGGGAAAACGUCUCAGUCAGCGUACUAUGCUAUGCUCACAAUUUUCGUUUUUCAAUUUGUCUAUUAUUAAGGCCUUGUUUAGUUCCGAAAAAUUUUGGAAAAUGGACACUGUAGCAUUUUCGUUUGUAUUUGACAAAUAUUGUCCAAUCAUGGACUAACUAGGCUCAAAAGAUUCGUCUUGUCAAUUUCGACCAAACUGUGCAAUUAGUUUUUAUUUUCGUUUAUAUUUAAUACUUCAUGCAUGCGUCUAAAGAUUCGAUGUGACGAGGAAUGUGAAAAAUUUUGCAAAAUUUUCUGGGAAGUAAACAAGGCCUAAGAAAAUUUUGCAAAAUUUUUCAGAUUCCCCGUCACAUCAAAUCUUUAGACCCAUGUUACAUGAAGUAUUAAAUAUAGACGAAAAUAAAAACUAAUUGCACAGUUUGGCCGAAAUUGACGAGACGAAUCUUUUGAGUCUAGUUAGUAUAUGUUUGGAUAAUAUUUGUCAAAUACAAACGAAAAUGACACUAUUCUUAUUUUGCAAAAAUUUUUAGAACGAGUGACGAUGAUCAAGCACUCAUUGGUCUCUUAAAUACGCAAAAAGAGAUUUACGUAUUAUUGUAUUGAGUAAAAGAGUUUAAGGCCUUGUUUAGUUCACCAAAAACCAAAAACUUUUCAAGAUUCUCCGUCACAUCAAAUCUUGCGGCACAUGCAUGGAGUAUUAAAUAUAGAUAAAAACAAAAACUAAUUACACAUUUGCCCGUAAAUCACGAGAUGAAUCUUUUGAACAUAGUUACUUCAUGAUUGGACAAUGUUUGUCAAAUAAAAACGAAAGUGCUACAGUAUACCCACCCAAAAAUUUUUGGGAACUAAACAAGGCCUAACUAGACAUACGACACAUUUUCACCUAACACAACCGUAGUUGAACCAUCUAACAAUUUUUUUGUUUUGAUAUUAUAUAAAGGAAACAACCAUAACCGAUGCAGCGGUGCGACCUAAAAAAUGACCUUGCAUCUCUAUCGCCUUGGCCUCCGACGAUAUCAUGUUGCCAUCAAAGACCUUGUCAAAGGCCUCCACCUCCAACGCUGAUAGUGCUGAUGGAUCCUUGAUCGUAGCCCAUACACUGCAUGAUUAGCAUCUUAUCUCGCUUAGAAGCAGGUACUGUGGACAGGCUCUGAGCCGCCAACCAUUUGCUCUACCAUGAUAGUAGUGGCUUAGCAAGCGGCUACUUGGGAGGCUCACGAAUCAGCGGAGAAUCCCUCUUACACACCACCAUCUUAGUGAAGUUGUCUAGACAACGCUUGAAGGAGGCGUCUUUGUUAGGCCUUGUUUAGUUCCAAAAAGUGAAAAGUUUUCGGUACUGUAGCACUUUCGUUUGUUUGUGACAAAUAUUAUCCAAUUAUGGAGUAACUAGGAUCAAAAGAUUCGUCUCGUGAUUUACAGUUAAACUGUGUAAUUAGUUUUUGUUUUCAUUUAUAUUUAAUGUUUCAUGCAUGUGCCACAAGAUUCGAUGUGACGGAAAAUUUUGAAAUUUUUUUUGGUAAACGAGACUGGGUGUUCCUCGGUGCCGUACUUGGGUCCGUCUGCAAAGCAGCCCUCUUCGCCCACCAUGGGCGUAUCAACGCCCGAGGGAUAGCUGAACACCAACCACUUUUGACGUGACCUAUGGCUACCGCGUCACAAGGUGGUGUCAGCCGCGUCGUCAAGUCGACAUGCUAACACGGCGUCUACGAGCAAAUACCAAUGGUUUGGUGACAGUGGAGGCCACGUGAUGACCCAACUGUGUCAGCGAGCAAAGCCGUGUGCUCCACCAGCUUCGGGUCCUCCAUGAUGUCGUGAUGUACUGUGGCGUCCGUGUGCGGUGUUAACAUCAGCGGGUCGAGCUCGACGAGUCCCGCUGCGCCAAUCAGCUCACCAUGUAUGGCAUGGGCACAGGCCUUGCCCUAGGGGGCAUUCAAGCUGUGCUCCUGCACUAGGCCCUCGAACCCAAGGGGCCCUUCCAGGCUGAAGCUAUCCGCUACAUCUAGUGUCCAUGAAGUUGCUACAUCCAUACGUGAGGUGUUUUAGACUUUGUAAGUACAUUUUCCCAAUCGAUCUCAAUCCUUUUGUUGAUCUCAAUUUCAUAUAUUUAAUCAAUGUUUAAUUUGCUUUUUUUAUUUCAAUUUCUAUUCUUUAGAACACAAGAUUUGAGAUGUUUCUGCACACGCUGCAGCUAGGGCAAUGUGUGACCUUACACUAUUUAGUGAAUAAUUGUCGGUAUCUCAAUUUCUCAACUAGAUAAUGUACUAUCUCUGUUGAUUUUAAUGUUGAAUCUAGCACGGCAUAAUUUUGACAAACGUGUCGCCCAGUGCUGCUGGAACGUCCCAACCCAACGACCCUGUGAACACCACGCCUGAUGGACGUACGUGCAGCUAAGCCAAAGUUUUCCUAUUUAUACACACGUCAGUACGGUAACUGAUGGGGACACAGAAAACUAAAGAUAUAAUGCCAUAAUGGUCCUUUCUUAUUCAUACAAUGCAGCUAUCGUCCUACACGGACAGUGGUCCUUAUUAUUCAUGAAAUGCAGUACCGGUUGUCUCGCAAUCAAGGAGAUUGCAGACAGCAACCCAUUGUUUUACAAUUUCGCACCUUACAUCUACACCUAGAGACUAGCUAUUACAGUACGAACGUGUCUGUAAAUAAAAGGACAAUAAAAAUCGGUGGAUGUAACGAGAACUGUUGGAAUGUGAUCCUAAGGCAUUUAUUAUUUUGGCACGUAAUCACAGGUCCACCAAAUACUCACGACUACAAAUAUAUAUAUAUAGAGAUGUCUCGAUUUCUAAGAGCAACUCUGAGUUGGCAUUUAGAGUUGGCAUUUGUGGUUUUUUACAAAGUCCCAAAUACAAAUGCAAAGUUUAAAAAUAGGAGUUCUCCAAGGGACUUUGCAAAUCAAACUUGGCAUUUGUCUAGGUGGACCUGGCAAACAAAUUUUUUAGCGCGAACGAGUUCCUCGCGCCGCGCGCGGUCUUCUUUUUUCCCGCGAUCUUGUUUUCCCGCGCGCCGAUCUCCGGUCCUUCGCCGCCGAUCUAUUCAUGGCGACGGUCAAAGCGAUCUGUCGAAGCGAUCUAUUUGGCGGCGGCGGCGUGGGAGAGGACGAUGCAAGGCGGCGGCGCGGUCUGGAGAAGCGAAGGGACUGUGGCAACCUAUUUGUGGCACGAAGAAAAGUCCCACCGCAUGGGAGUACGUCGCGGCCACGAGAAACCCGCGGGUAUGCCGUUUGCCAAGCCAAGGAAAGUUUGGCAUUUUUGCCAAUUCUCCUCCUCCAAAUGCCAACUUGCAUAAAAUGCCAAACCAUUGGACCCCUCUUUUUUAGUUUUUUGGCAAAUUCUAAAAUGCAAAACCCAUUUGCAAACUCCUUUGGAGCUGCUCUAAUAGUAGCGGCUCAAUUUACAACCACCUCUUAAAAUAGUUCUAAAAAUAAGGUGCAUCCAAAAAUGAAUUUGUAAGAGUGGUUUGUGUUUUUAACCAUCUCUACAUAUAUCUCUAUUUUAGGAGAAUAUACUUUAGAUCCAACCGUAUGUACAAAUAGAGACAAUUGGAUCUAGAGCCACCUCUAAUGAUACGUGCAGCACAGCAAAAUUUAUUAUUUUUUGACAUGCAAGCUAUCCACAUCAACAAUCCACUAAAACUUGCAAUUAUAGCCAACUAGCACAUGUAUUAUGAUAGUUAUAUCUUCAUCUACUAACAUACAUUUAGCUGUUCACAUUGAUGUGUCAAACAAUUCAACAAAAUUAAUCUAAAAUAGUUUCAUUCAUAUAACUAUAAAUAGAAAUAGUCUAAUUUCUUUAUAAAUUAUCUGAAAUUCCCGCAGCAACGCACGGGGUAUUCUCCUAGUAUCAUAUAUAGAGAUGUCUCGAUUUCUAAUAGAAGCGGCUCAAUUUACAACCACCUCUUAAAAUAGUUCUAAAAAUAAGGUGCAUCCAAAAAUGAAUUUGUAAGAGUGGUUUGUGUUUUUAACCAUCUCUACAUAUGUCUCUAUUUUUGGAGAAUAUACUUUAGAUCCAACCGUCUGUACAAAUUAAUCGAGUAGAGACAAUUGGAUCUAGAGCCACCUCUAAUGAUACGUGCAGCACAGCAAAAUUUAUUAUUUUUUGAAUGAAGUUGGAUAAAAAUAAAAUUUAUAUCAAAUUGUAUAUCUAAAGAGAUCUACAACUUUGUAAUUUAUAUUUUUUUCAUUUGAGAUCAUUUGUAUCUAGCAAAUUAUGUUUGAAGUUCUCAUGAAUGGUCUCUAAUGGCCUUGUCAAAAUACCUCCUUCAUCAAAACGAUGUUCUUAAUCAAAAUAUCUAAAGUUUAUAUAAAAAUGUAUCAAUAUUUGUAAGAUAAAAUGUAUAUACAAUAAAUAUAUAUAGAAUUAUUAUAUAUAUAGGGAAAUUACUUCCACUAGUACACAGAGGUUCUAAGCCGGUGGGGGUAAAACAUUUGCACAGGCGGUUUUAGUUAUAAUGCGCCUGUGUUGUAAAUUUGUACGGCUAGAAUUGAAAACCAUCUGUAUAAAAGGCUCAGUAUAGGCGGUUAUUGUAAGAAAACCGCCUGUGUAAAUCCAUUAACACAGGCGGUUCACAUAAUUGAACCGCCUGUGUAAAUGGUUCAUUUACACAGGCGGUUCUGUUAUGUGAACCGCCUGUGUUAAUGGAUUUACACAGGCGGUUCACAUAACAAACCGCCUGUGAAUUAUCUUCCUAUAAAUAUCCGCAGCCCUCUUCUUCCUACUCGGGCAGAACUGUAGCUCGCAGCCACCUUCCAUUGCAGCCCAUCUUGGAGGUCUAGAUUUUUCAAAAUACAAGGGGGGAGGUUUUGAUCUUCAUUUCUUGGAAGGAGGUGGCUAAGUAAGGUUAGUUGAUGUCUCUAAUGCCUCUUUUUGUGCCCUAUUCCUCAAUUUAAGCUACUUUUUGGAUCUAGAGUUUCACCAUGAGAGGGAGAGAGUAGAAUAGCUAGGUAUGGUCUAUAUUUGCUCAAAUGAGGUUGCUUAAGAUGGUUAGAUGAUGUCUCUCCGGCACCAAAAAAUGAUGAUAAGACACCACCGCAACCAAAGAAAACAAAAUUCUCGGUCCCCAAAUUGGUUUCCCCGUACGAGCCAAAGAAGAAGGCCGCUGGUAAGGCCCUAUUUUUAUCCGGAAUUGCAAGGAGCCGCACUUCAAAACUUGUUGACUUGGCAGAGCAUGAGAAGGAGGGGUCAAAAAGCUUUGAAACACGUAUUGUCAAUAUCAGGCCACCAACGAAGGAUGAUUACAAAUUUGUCCCUACUAAAUAUGAGCCAGGCAGACCACUACUUAGUUGGGACAAACUCAAAAAGAUCCCAUCUGGUAUAAAAAGGAUGCAUGACUGGUAUAUGAGAGCAGCUUCUGUAGGCAUUCACACGAUCAAUGUGAUUAUACCACCAAAAGCAUUCAACAGUGAGCGUACAAAGGCAAUCGUUACCUUCGAGGACAUGUGGCUAAUGAUGAACCUCCAGAGACUAGACGUGCAGCUGGUAACCGUGUUUGCAUUGUAAGUGUCACUCGUACUAUCUUGUGUUAUUAUUCAUGAGUUGCAUCAAUUUUCAACAUCUAACAUACAAGUGCUCAUUGCAGAAUGAAUUUUAAACAACAAGAGAUGCGGUACGGUUCAGAUCCGGAUAGGUCUGCCAGUAAAAGGGUUGUGUAUCUGAGCCCGAUGAAGAUAUGUGAGGAGCAGCACAACUUCAGAAUCGGAGACAAACACGACUCCUUAGAAGGUUUGGACCCCGCUGAGCAUAAGAAGAUAAUAGAUGAAAGUCGACUAGAUUAUGAAUGUAAAUACGACCUCUACAUAGCCUUGGCACUGCUCAAGUAUCAAGAUCGAGAAUGUGUUGUUGCCCCAUACAACUUUGGGUAAGUGUCAAUUUGUAUUCAUCGUCGUAUUAGUAAUUUCAAUGGGCACUUGCAUCAUAAAUUCGAUUCUCUCAGGGACCACUGGAUCUGCCUCCUCAUUAAUCCUAGUCUAGGACGUGUGCUAGUCCUAGACUCUGCAGACUAUGAUCCUUCAAGUUAUGCAAAAUUCAUUACACACUUGGAACGGUAAGCUGAGUACAUUAAAUAUUCAUACCUACUUUUAUAAGAGUUUCAGAAUAACUUGAGGAUUGUGUAUUCGAUACUAUAGGGCCUCUAGUUAUUAUAAGAUCAAAGGUGGAAGGUGCGAUUCAUCAGAACCGGGGCAGCCAUUGAGAUUAUUUUAUAAAUGGCCGGUACGUACCAAAAUAUCACAAGUUGUCUUUUAUAAAUAUAAUAUGCAUAUGACGAUGUUGCAACUAAUAAAUAUCCACUUUUCUGUCAUACAUCAGUGCCAUAAGCAACUAGUCGGAUCGGUCCACUGUGGAUUCUACGUCUGCGAGUUCAUGAGAGAGACCGGAAGAUAUGUAACUAACCCUUCUAAGGUAUUGCUCUAAUAGUCGUUUAUAUUAUUUGUGUCAUUUUUUGUUGCUAAGCAUGUGUUAUAUGAACUAUAAAUUUAUGAUGUUUCUAACUUCCUCUUCAGCAACAUGAGUUGGAAAAGGCGAAGAGCAUGACUCAAGCUGUUCUAUAUAACAUAGUUGAGGACCUCUGCACUUUUCUCUUGAGAGAAGCCAUUCCCACCGAAGGGAAAUAACACGACCCGACCAGCGUCCUAGCAAAGCCUGAGUUUAGAGCGCUAAGAGAUAUUAGUAGGCUAAAGCUAUCUCAAUCGGGUUAUUAGAGCAGAGGUUUCAGAUGUGAAACCUCAUAUGUCUGUAAACAAAAAACUUUGAUGUGUGAUGUUUGUAAUUAAUAUAAUUUUAUGUACAAAGUAAUGGUAUAUAUAAAUAUAUUGCAUGUUGCAUUGGUUGAAUCUUCUAGCCUAACAUAGUUUCAAUAUUAAUGUAUAUAAUAUUAUAUAUAUAUAAUUUAAAAAUAGGGUUUGCAGAAAAAUUUAGAAUUGGGUUAAAUUGAAAAAUCUUACCACAGGCGGUUCUGUUAUGAGAACCGUCUGUAGAAUUUCAUUUCUACAGGCGGCUCCGCCUGUAGAAAUUGGUUUCUACAGGCGGUUCUCAUAAUUGAACCACCUGUAGAAAUGAAUUUCUACAGGCAGCUCUCAGUUGACCGCCUGUGGAAACUUUUAUUUCCACAGGCCUAUAGCCACUGGCGGUUCGUCAAUCCGCCUGUACAAAGGGGUUGCGAACCGCCUGUAUAGUACCUCUGUGUACUAGUGUUCAUACUCUUAGAAGUAGCUACUCCCAUGUCAAUAUCUUUAGAUUUAUGGUGUAUAUGACCAAACGAAAUGUAUGUAGACGAAGUAUAUGAUCAUACUAGACCAUCUAGGAUGAUAUAUGUCAAGUAUGUAUGCAUAUAUAGAAUAUAUGGCUAUACUUAUUAUAUAUACUACAAUAUAUUAAAAAAUAUGGAUUUCUUUAAAAACUUUUGCGUGGUAUGAUAUAGAGUAUCUUAAUAUAAGUAUAUAAACAUACUUAAACACAUAAACAAGUAUAAAGACAUAUGCAAUAUGGUUUAUUGAAAAUGGAAGUAACUACUACGGGUAGUACGAAAAAUGCACCCGGGAAAUUACUCCGUACUCCUAGGAGUAGCUACAUGUCUAUAUAUAUCUAGAUUUAUGGUGUGUAUAUAUAUGACCGGAUGAAAUGUAUGUAGAUGAAAUAUAGGUGGUCAAAAGUAUAUUUUAUACCUACGGUGUAGUAAAACAAUGGGGAGCCCAGCGCGUCUGGUCGUCCACUCGCUGACAUCUAGGUCAUUCUCAAUCUUUUUCCAAACAGAUAUGCAUACAGUAUAUAAGUCGUUUUCUUAAUUCUAAUAUAAUCACCGUAUAUAUAUAUAAGACCGGCAAGACAAACAACACGUGGCUGAUGUGACGCUUACGCAUGCAUCCUGACCAAACGACAGUAUACGAGCGUGAUACCCGCCGUACCAUGUUUGUCUGUUUCGUGGCCGGGCACGGCCUCAUCGCCACCAACUAACCCGCGGUCUCUUUCCCUCGCUCUCCAUGUCUCAAUCCCAUAUCGUCGCUUCGUCUAUAUUUCGGCUUCGCGUCUCCGUCGAUUUUGAGACCUCGUGUCGGCUCUCGCACGUUUCCUUAAAGCUUGAUCGAGAUCCCCACCUACAGUGAAUGAAAAUUAAGAACCUGUCGGGCAGCUGGCCGGGUACUUGAAGGCUGCGUUCUCACCUCCCAAUUUCUAACACACGAACUGUUGACGUGAAACAAGGUUCUCUAAAGUUUUAUUACACGAUUUCAUAGUUUAUUUUACUAUAUUUUUCUUUCAUUCCUAUCUUUUCUCUCUUUAUCUUUCCUCUCAUCCAUCUCUUCCGAUGAAACACCGGAGCUCCUCAAUGUGAGUUUCAUCCUCGUUUCCUAGCGUUGGAAAUGUCGUCCCACUCGUUUCGUGGCCAUGAAACGAAUUCCUUAUCUCUUCUCCUCAUUUCAUAUAGUUUGCUGAAGUGGCACACUCUUAAAUGUGCAUGAAACCUCUCAUGAAACCACAUUGAGACUAGCCUUAUGAUGCACUGUAUAAUACUCCUUUUGUUUCAAAUUUUAAUAAGUCGUUUUGACUUUCUUGAUUUAUCUAUUUUGCUAUGUAUCUAGACAUAUUAAUAUUUAGAUGCAUAAUAAAACAGAUGUACCAACAAAGUCAAAACGACUUAUAAUUUGAAAUGGGAGAAGUAGAAUAUUGUGCACUACUCCCUCCGUCCCAAAAAGAGUGACAUUUUUUACUUUUAGAAAUCGUGUUUGACCAUUCGUCUUAUUUUAAAAUUUUAUAUAAAUCAUAAAAUAAAUAAAUCAUUAGUAAAGUAUCUCUAAUAAUAAAAUAGGUCUUAACAAAAUAUAUAAUAUUUAUAUAAAAAUUUUAAAUAAGACAGAUGAUCAAAUAAGAUGUCUGAAAUUCUAAAACGACACUCUUUUUGGGACGGAGGGAGUAUGUAUGAUCUUACACUCCUAAGUUCCAAAUUAUAGAAAAUUUUGGCUUUUUGUAGGUAUAUUGUUUUUGGUAUGCACUCAGAUAUACACCAGACAUGUCUGGAUACAUAGUAAAAGAAAUAUAUGUAAAAAAUUCAAAACAAUUUUAUACUGCACUGUGUAAAGGGUUUUGGAACUUGUAACUAGCAGGAGCCGCUAAAGCAAGCGUUUUGGGCUCACUAGCAUCCCGCACUGCCGCUACUACAUAAAUCUUUUUUAACAGACAACUCACAUUUCAAAUAGAGAUGAAUACAUAAGGAGCCAUAUGUAACUAUGGUGAGGAGAACAUUAGCUCAUCAGCCACUUCUAGAAGUCUAUUUUCUAGAGCGGUUUCGUUAAGCAAAAUACCCCUAUAGAGAUAUCUCUAUUUGUAGCAGCGGUUUCAAGGUGCAAUUGUCUUAACCGAACCGCCACUAGAAAAACCAGAUUAUCAAGGGCAGUGUUGUCAAGAGAACCAUGUCUAGACAUUAUUAACAGGAGAGGUUCACUUAGUCAAUCUACAAAUACACGUCUUCCUUCUCGUGAUUGUAGUUCAUGCCAUUGUUGAGUUCAUUUGGAGGUGAGAAAUUACAAAAAUGGAGGGGGAGAUUUUUUUCCAUUUGAAUCUUCGAAAGAGUUGGACUUAAGAGGUAAGUUUAUGCCACCCCUAAGUCUUUUCAAAGUUAUAUAUAAAUACGUAACAAAAUUUAUGUACCAAAAAAGUCAAAAUGACAAAUAAUUUGGAAAGGAGGGAGUAUAAAUAGUUCAUGAUGAAUUAUGUAAGGUCAUCAUAAUUACAUCUAAUUCAUCCAUCGUCAAAAAAAAAUAAUCAUGACCAUAACUAACAGUAGUAAGUAAAAGUCACCACUUAUCAAAGCAUAAAAAGUCACAUGUGCAAAACAAAAUGUCAACAUCUCUUACAACUAUUGACGACCCUUCUACACCACCGCAUCAAUGUAUGUGAGCAAGGCACCACAUGGUUCUAAGGUGAAUGGAACCACUAUGCAAUGAUAGUGGGGACAAUAACUCAUACAUCAGCUACAUCAUUGUCAUCACAAUUGCACCCUCCCAUUGUAGGGGUGGAAACAUCAUGGUUGAGAAUCGCAACAAAAGCAUAUCUCAAAUCCUUAGCCACAUGCAACACAUAUCCAAUGUCGUGUGCUGCUAGCACAACCAAUUUAUCCUCAAAACAACAACGAUGUUAGUGGUUGCAUACACUAGGGCAUUCAUCACCAUCCCUUCAUCAGCAAUAGUUGGCCACUUUGGCAAUGAAGAAAGAAGGAUGACAAUCACAAGGAUGGAAAGAGUGUAGAUUUUGGAGGGAUGAGAUGAGAGUGUACGGAGUUGAGAGUCUACUUGGUUUAGCUUUGAGCUUUAAAAAACUGCUAUUAGCUGUGAGCUAUGGAAAAACUAUUGUGAGCUAUGUGCUAUGAAAAAGUUGUAAGUUGUUUGGUUGAAACAACUAUAAAACCUAUCCUCUCUCUUUAUCUUCCUUGAAGUACCUAUAAAACAUCUCUAUAUUUCCAUCCAUUUCAAAAAGCUAAAUGUUGGAAACCAAAAGUAGGGUCCAAGGUGGCGCAAAACCUAUACUAUAUGAAACUAGUUGUUUCUAGAAAAAGCAUCGUCUUCAGGUUCAAUCUGGUUUCCUGCAAAGCAUGGCACUAACUAACUUGGUGUUGGUGUUCUUUUGAGUUGCUACUUUAGUAUGACCUGCAACCAAAAAGGAAGUGAUGACAACUUGAGCUUUUUUUCUUCUUUGCUUGUGAUUGUGCUUGCUUUAGUCUUGUCCCAGAACUUGGCACUUUUGCUGGUUCAACUUCAGUAACUUCAUGCUCUUCAUUUCCUUCUUGUUCUUGUUCACCAUCUCCAGAAAGUGCCACAAUUCUAUUCCAUGUAUUCUUCUUCAGGUAAACAAUCAUCUGUCACUAGACUAUUGGAGGUGGUUUUGGGUACUUCACUAAAUCCCCAUAACCCCCAACAAGGUGCAUCUUGAACCGACUUAUUCGUGCAGACACUACCUUCUUACAGAAAAUGCACUGAACAAAUUCUUUCUUCGUAGGAUCUGGCCACUAGCCAUACUUCCAUCCUAGAUCUUGAGAUCGAGCCAUCCUCUUGGAAUCUUUAGCCUACUCAGCAAGUUCUGGAGGUUGUGCUGCUAUAGCCUUUUCUACUAGGGAUGAAACAUCUAGAGCAGCUGAGGAUGUUGAACCAGCACCAGCUGAUGCAACUGAUGAGGUUGCGGUAGCACCUCCUUCAGGAUUAGACUCAGGCAUAAUGACUUCCACUGCAAGCUGCCUCCUUCAAUUUUCAUCUACUCAAGUUCAACAAAGAGCCAAAGAAACAAAGCAUCAAGAUUUGAGCAUAGUGCAGUGGAGAGAAGAUGAUAGAGCAAAGCCGGUUUAAUCACUCACCUUUAGAGGAGGAGCUCAUCUUUGUGCUCCCUUGGACCUAUAGCCUCCAGGUGGGGUAGAAAGUAGGUGACCUUGCAAUUGUAGCAGAAGAGGCCAAGGGGGAGGAAGAAGCAGGCCACAUGGAAGAUGGAGGAGUAAGCAUCAAGGAGCAGCGGGCUGCUUUUGGAUUAGAACUGGAAGGGAGGGAGGAGGGAGUGAGAUGCAAGCUGUAGGCUUAGUAGAUGCACGAGUAGGAGCAGCAUGAGCGGACGACUGGAGUGGGAGUGAGGACUAAAGAGAGAGUGGGGGUGAAGUAUAUAAGGAAACCCUAAUUGGCCUGGCCCAAAUAAAUAUAGCUCAGGCCAAAAGUAGCCCAUCUUCUAAUUCGACUCUGAUCGGUCAGGAGACAUGAUCAGACGAUUAAUCAUGUUUAAUUGAUGAUUAAUCAGAUGAUCAAGAUUCUAAUCACUCUAAUCGAAUCGAAGGCCCUAAUCGAGUGCUACAUACUCAUAAGGACAAUUAAUCACGAUUAAUCGAACGAUCAAAAAACAUUGGUGGGGUCAACAUUGACAAAUCAACUGGCACCGGUAUUUUUGGAGUGUUGAAGAAGAAAUUAAUUCCAUCUACUCAAGCAACCAUUGCAUGACACCAUGACAUGUGGUGCUAGCUUACCAACAAAAUGGCAUCGUACCAUUGGGCAUACAAAUGUAUACCCUAAAUGUGUUGUUGAUGUUGCUGUGGUGCUGAACUGCUAAUUUGCAAUGGAACGUAGAGAAGAGGUUUGGUUCUUGGGAUGACAAACUACUAGCUUGUUCUAGGUCGAGACAUAUGGUAUUUAACCACAUCUCUUCAACUCUUCUUUUAUUGCUUUUAUCGAGAACAUGUGCGUGAACGCGUUUUUCAUUAAGAGGAAGUUUUAAUCAUUUACAAUAGAUACCGCACCUCCAAAGCGAGAAGCAUAGCAGGGGCCAUUACCUAGGGCCAACCCUAGGGGGGCAUGGGGUGUAACGGCCAAGGGCCCAGGCGAGGAAGGAUCCAAGCCUAGGUAUACAAAAUCCUAGUACCUUGGCCCAAAAAAUGAAGAUAGAAACGAGUAGUGCGAGUCGACCCAAGAAGCAAGAAGAUGAUUGGAUGGAGUAGGCGAGGAGCCGCGCUCUGCAUUACCGUAGAUUGCGAGUUGCUACUUGUGGCUUUCGUGUUCAACACCUGCCUCCCACUGCAAGUGCCUAGUUCUUGACUUGACGCUACGAUAGAGGAUGACCAUGCCACCAAGAGCAAGAACAAUGCACAACGGUCGAUAGGGCCAACAAGGCAGAGAUCCACCUCCACAAUGCUGAUCAGUUGUUGUGAAUUGUGAUCGCCAAUGUCAUUUAGUUCGUGUCCGGAGGCCCUAGGUAUUUUCUGUUUGUUUAUUUUUUAAUCCAAAUUAAUUAUUUAUAUAGUAUUAAGACUUCUAGUACUUUGUACUCAUAUAAUCACAUUUUUCUUCUAAUUUAGGUGUUAGAAUUUUAAAAUGUUACCUAAGAAACAUUUGGGAAAAGUUUAUAUGUUAUACAUUGUUUUGAUAUAAUAUGAUAAGUUUGAAUCUUACUAUUUGUGAUGGCAAGCUAUUUCUUUUUUUUAUAUUAUCCAACGUAUAUACACACUAUUUGUAAAAUCUACCAAAAGGUGGAAGAUUGUCCCAGGAUUAACAGUUAAGUCAUGGUCUAUAUACGCUAGGAAAGCUGAAUAAAAAGUGUUCAAGCUAUAAGAUUCCAAACUCCUCAAAUAAGAUCAACUCUAAUAGUGCUAGAGAAGGCUUCAACUGAUGAUCCAAUGGUAGCUAGUGAAUAUCAAUCUUUUGUGAGUGCACUUGAGAAUUUUGAUCUUUUAGUUGGUUUGGUUAUUUGGCAUGACAUUUUAUUCUCUAUAAAUAAGAUAAGGAAGAAGAGUUGCAUUCUAAAAUUCUGAGUAUAGAUGCUACUCUCAAACAUUGAAGGUAUCAUAUCAUAUUUUAAGAAGUAUAGAGAUGAAAGUUCACUUCUAGUAUGGAUACAACAACGUCAACAAAAGAGAAAUUUUUUUGAUGAAUAAGAUGACCAAGACGAGGAAUACAACAUGGACUCCCUUAGAAUAGAGUACUUCCUAGUUAGGAUCGAUGCUGCAAUUACUUCAUUGACUAGUAGAUUUGAGCAGAUGAAAGCAUUUGAUAAUGUUUUUGGGUACUUGUUCAACUUAGAAAAUUUGAAAUCCUUAGAUGAAGCUAAUCUUUGGUUGUGCUGCAAGAAUUUUGUGAAAAUAUUUUCUCAUGAUAACUCAUCCAAUAUUGAUAUCAAUGAUUUUUCAGAACUAAUGGUGUUGCAAGUGACUUUGCCAGAUUCUUUGAUAUCAACACCUGAGAUUCUGAAGUUUGUUAUAGAUGCAAAUUGCUAUGUAAAUGUUUCAGUUGCCUAUCGAAUUCUCUUAACUGAUCGUAGCUCGGGCUAAAAGAAGUUUACCAAAAUUAAAGUUGUUGAAGAACUAUUUGAGAUCAAUUAUAUCAUAAGAAAGGUUAAAUGGCUUGGUUAUGUGCACCGUCAAGAAAGAUAUCUUGGACACUAUUGAUUUUAAUACCGUCUUUGAUAAUUUUGCAUCAAGCAACGACCAAAGAAGUAUUUUUUUAUGAGAAGCAAUGGAUAAUAGAGUUCUAUUCUUUCUUAAGGUAAUCAUAUCAGUUCUAGAUAUACAAACAUAUUGUUUUUUAGUCUACAUUGUUUUUUGUUCUCAAUAAUUAUCAGACAAGUUAAAUUAAAUAUAUAUUAUUGGAUUUGUUUUUCCUUUGUAAAUACGAACUGAUCAUAGAUCAGCUGAUUGAUCAGCUGAUUGAGUUCCUUGUGGUGGAACCUGUCCGGUGGUUCAAGUCCCUAACUUGACAUGAGUGCUCGUAUUUUCUUGGAUUUAUUCCAGAUUUUAAUAACGCUAUGCUUUCAGUGGUAGGCGACGUGCCCCUCGAUAACGAGGUGCCUGUGGUGACUUCGUCAAUCUUGAGAUUUGCCGGUCCAACUCGGUUCUUCGGAGGUACUCAUAGAGGUGAGUGUGCGCUCAUGUUUGACUGUUUGUGAGCAUAUGCGUCUGUAACUGGUCUCCCAAAAAAAAAAUAGCCCCUAUAUGUUAUAAGGUUUCAUGGUCUAGGGAGGCCGUCACAAUGUGUUUGUCAGAGGGCGUCAAAAUCCUAGGACCGGCGCUGCCGUGACCACGCACAUGAUGCUUAGAUAAGCACCCAAACAUACACACACGAAUUUCGUAUCUACGUCGACGUCAUGACUAAUUUUGCUACUUAAAGCUAGGCCAAGGCACUCAAAGCAAGCUCAUGGGCGUGGCGAGGUCUCGGACACAAACGUCGAUCCACUGCGUCGCCUGCGGUCCGGAAACAGCUCGCGCAUCGCCUCCCGUUUGGAGCGACAACGGUGUUCUGAAUGUUUCGGAGAACCGAGUGACAGUCCUGUCUGAGAAGGUGCCGACAGUGUCUCAAAGCCCCAUUUUUUCAGUAACACGUUCUUCGCCUGGCCGUCCCGCGUGUGGCUUGUCCGCAAGGCUGGAGCUCCUUCGUGGGAUGAAGUCAGUACCCUGGGAACGAGAGACGCUAAGCCUUGGCGUGGAUUUGAUGAGCACCAAGAUUCUUCUUCUAUGCUAGUAUAUUGCACUAUGCAUUUAGGUGCAACGAUUCAUGCAUGACCCCUUGCAUAUAUUCCUCAAUGAAACUUCUUUCUGCUAGUAUAUAGAGAAAGGUGACGGUUCAGAAAGCAAUGGGCACGAAAAACGGAAAAAGGAGGUAUAGAAGGGGUGGUGUGGCAUCAAUUAAAAUAAUCAAUUAACCAUGUGCAUAGAUGUUGUACUAUCUCCAUCUCAAAUUAUAAGACAUUACAAAAAUUUUAGAGAAUUAAAGCAUCUUUAAGUUUAACCAAAAUUAUAGAAAGAAUUAUAAAGAUUUAUGAGAUCAAGUAGAUAUACUAUAAAAAUAUAAUUAAUGAAGAAUCUAAUGAUACUUAGUUAGUAUCAUAAAUGUUAUUAUUUUAUUAUAUAAAUUUGGUUGACUUUCUAAGAUUCUUAGAAUGACUUAUAAUUUGGUACGGAGGGAGUAGAUUUUUAAAACCAUAGGCUGCAUAAAACCAUGGUUUGGAGAAAAGAGGAGGUUCUCACAUGAAGUUUCUAUAGACCACCAGAAAGGCCAAGGUUUUGACAACCAUGCGUUUUAAAAAGUAUAAGCAAUUUUUGUUGCAUCCAAAUGAUGCGUAGAUAGCAAUGCAAAUCUAGUAUUUGAACAGCUAGGCAAAAACGUUUUGCAUCACCUAAGAGCAAAUUUAAUAAUACAGUCUAUUUAUUGGUUGUAAGGUUCUUUGUAGUCUUCUUUCAGCCUAUCCAUAUAAUAAUUAGCUAUUCGCUAUUAAUAUAUGGUCCGCUUAUCUCUCUCACAAAUUUUUUUUGUUUCCUAUAUCUAAGUUACAACCUGUUUCUCCUCUCUUUCUUGUGUCUUCUCUUCUUCACCUCAGCAUUUAGCCACACCGGAGGCAACUGUAAUACGAGCGGUAGUUGAGGCCUCCACGUCCUUGUGUGGGGCACACCACGUCAACAGGCACGUUUUUGGGUCUGGGUCACACAUCUGCAAAUUUAUCAGGCGAAGCACAUGCUAUUUAACGCACUGCACCCACAAGACGCAAAGAGGCAGAGAGAUCACCGAGAUCAGCUCUUUACACGUCCACCCACACACGCGUAGUACGUUUGGCGAUGGCAAAGCUCCUUGCCGCUGUCCUCGCCGUCGUCCUGGCGGCUCUCGCCGCCGGCACCGCCACCGGCAUGCUGUCGGCGGAGAUCGACGACGGCAUGCCGCUGAUCCACAUGCUGCGGCCGCUGCUGCAUUCCAGCGGCCACCUGGGCCGGCUCGGCGGCGUGCCAUGCGAUAGCUGGCGGUUCGCUGUGGAGACGGACACCCUGCGCGACUGGGAAACGGUCCCGGCCCGCUGCGAGAAGUACGUCGGCAACUACAUGCUCGGCGGGCAGUACCGCAGCGACUCCCAAGCCGUCGUCGACGAGGCCGUCGCCUACGCCGAGGGCCUGAAGCUCUCCGGCGAUGGCAAGGAGGUCUGGGUGUUCGACGUCGACGAGACGACGCUCUCCAACCUCCCCUACUAUGCUGAGCACGGCUUCGGGUGCGUUUUGUAUAUCUUGUUACUAGUAUAUAGAUUAUUAUAGAUUAAAAGGUAUAGAUAUAGAUUUAGAUAUAGAAAGUAGUAAAUAUAAAAUAAACAUAGAUAUAAUCAUAUAAACGUCUAUGCAAAUAUAUUGAUAUACCAAUAUAAUAAUAUAUACAAGAUUAUAACACACUAGCACUAUAGGAUUCUCGUAUUUUGCCGAGAGCCGGAGCGGUUCGGCAAAGAGCCCUUCCGCAUUCGGUAAAGGCUGAUUUUCCUGUAGAGGUCUCUCGGUAAAGACUGAUUUUAUUGCACGGCCAUCAGUAAAGAGGUCGACUUUCGGCAAGGUAUGAUUUUAGCUAACUGUGAACGACGCAUGCAGGUCUGAGCCGUACAACUCGACGGCCUUCGGCGCGUACACCAAGUUGGCAAACGCGCCGGCGUUGCCGGAGACGCAGCGGCUGUACAAGAGACUGCAGGAGCUGGGCAUCAAGCCGGUGAUCCUGACGGGGCGACGCGAGGACAAGCGGGAGUCCACGGCCAAGAACCUCGCCGAUGUGGGGUACACCGGCUACGAGAAGCUGCUGCUCAAGUACGCACCUAGUGCCGUUGUCGUCGAUUCCAUCGACCUGCUGCCUUUAUUAUUGCUUAUUGUGUUCGUUUCUACCACCAAAAUAAAAAAAAAAAAAAAAACUGUGAGAAUGCGUGUGACGAUCGGGCGUAUAUAUAUAUAUAUGCAGGCCUCAGGACGCCAGGGUGACUGCGGUGGAGUUCAAGUCCGGCGAGCGGAAGAAGCUGGUGGACGCCGGGUACGUCAUCGUCGGCAACAUCGGCGACCAGUGGACUGACCUCCUCGGCGAGCCGGAGGGCGAUCGCACGUUCAAGCUGCCCGACCCCAUGUACUACGUCGGCUAGCUCUUCGAUCAUAUGCUCUUCUACAUAUAUAUAAUACCCCGAUCAGGGCUGGAGCCAAAGCCAACAGCAGCAAACGAACGGACGCGCGCCUGAAUGAAUAAUAAUUACUGUUCAUCAGUGUAUCAAAAUAAAUGGCCUAAUAAUUAUACGGCAAAGGGAUAUUAUUAUAGAGUACUGUAUGCUUUGCCCUGUGGCUUACAAUCAAACCCAGUAUAAUAUUUCAGCUGACUCGCUUGCCCAAGUUACAAAAACAGAACAAAAAGCGGUUCAACCUUAGGUGUACUCUGCUUUGCACCGCAAAGACGAAGGGAUGGUUUGUCACAACACAUUGGUCAAAGAGUUUUUCGAAAAAUGAUACUCCCUUCCAUCUCAAAUUAUAAGUCAUUACAAGAAUCUUGGAGAGUUAAAGCAUUUUCAUGUUUGACCAAAAUUAUAUAGAGAAAUAAUAAGAUUUAUAACAUAAAGUGAUUAUACUAUAAAAAUAGUUUUUUUAGAGGACUGGAGGGGCUUUCGCCCCUACAAAUAAUUUAUUAAAAGAAAAAGACAGUACAACUAUAGAAACAUAUAUCUACAAUAAAAAACAGAGAAAACAACAGGAUCCACUCAGGGAACCUUAAAAGAAACAAAAAACACAGCAGAAAGAGACUACCAGCUAACCAGCUACCAGCUAAGCAACAGAGGAAAGCCAUUGAAGAAACGAAUGUUCAGAUCUUGAAUUUACUCUGAACUUGAGCACUUUGAGCUCCUUGAUGAAGCUGGUCCUGCUAGAAGAGACUUGGGGCUGAAUGUUGUCAAAAAUAAAAGCAUUCCUGGUAGUCCAAAUUGCCCAGCAUAAGAGAAUUAUAGACUCCAUGAAGAACCGAGAACCAAUUGCUCUUUUAGGAAGUGCAUACUAGAAGGCAUUUCUGCAACUGCUGGAAUAUCCACACCUAUUGAUUGCCAACAUUGCUUGGCAAAUUCGCACUGAAGGAACAAGUGAUGGACUGUUUCUUCGAUACCCAGAUUACAUAGAACACAACUGUAUAAUUGUAAAGCCAUGUUUUUCCGUCUCAAAAUAUUCCUUGUGCUGAGCCUAUCUUUCAAGAGCAGCCAAAAGAAAACCUUAUGCUUUGGCUGACAAAAGCAGUUCCAUAUCCACUGUAUGGACUGAUGGUGGUGGGACUGUCCCUUGAUGAACUUGUAUGCCCUCGACGAAGAGAAGUGCUGGCCCCACUGAUAUUUCCAUUUGUCGUUAUUCUCAUUCAGGUUGAAGAAAUCCAUCUCUUGAUGAAGUGCUUGUAACUGAUUAAAAGCUAUUUCUGACAGAGGCAAGUUUAACAGAUGUGUGAAGUCCUCUUCUACCCAUGCUUUUGCCACUGAUAUUGCCUUUGUUUUUGCAAAGGAGCAUAAUUCUGGGAAUCUUAUUUCCAAGCUCUGUUGAUUCCAGCUAUCCACCCAGAACAGACAUGUCUCACCGGAGUUUACUUGAAUUUGAACCACCUGUUUGUAAUGCUGUAAGUUUUUCAGGUUGUCUCUCCACCAAAAUGAUCCUUUCUUGGAAACACCUGGUAAUUUCCCAUUUGGAUAGUGCUUUUCCCAAACAAUCUGUACCCAAGGUAUGUCUUCCUUAUUGAAAAAUUUAUGCAGAAUUUUCAUUAGAAGUGCUUUGUUUUGUUUCUCAAUGUCUAUUACUCCUAGUCCUCCUUCCUGCUUUCCAAUACAGACCAUUUCCCAAGCUGCUUUUGGCUUCCCUCUUCCAUUAAUGUCUGAUCCCCUCCAAAGGCAAUUUUUUCUAUAUUUAUCAAUUUGCUUGAUUACUGUUUUUGGGAGUUCCAACGAGCACAUGUAGAAUGUGGGUAGAGCUGAAAAAACUGCAUUUGUUAGCUCUAACCUUCCAGCCUGAGUUAGAAAAUUGGAUACACUUAACAAUCUUCUCUCACAUUUACUGACCAGGGGUAAGAAAUCCUGAACCUUUGGUUUGGUUAAACCCAAAGGCAGACCCAAAUAAGUGAAUGGUAAAGUCCCCUUGGAGCAGCCAAAAGUUCUAGAUAAGUGAUCAAGUCUUUCCUCAGACAAGUUGACUGGUAACAUCAUGGAUUUUCUAUAGUUUACCUUCAGGCCAGUACAAUUGGCAAAGGUGUUAAGCAGAGAUUUAAGAAACAUUAACUGUCUUGAGUCUGCCUCCAUGAUUAUCAAGGUAUCAUCAGCGUAUUGCACUAUGGGGAAGUCCAGAUUAGAAUUUAAGGGAAAGGGCAAUCUUAGCAGACCUAAAUCCUUCCCUUUAUUGACCAAAGACUGAAGGAAAUCUGCUGCUAGGACAAAUAAUAAGGGAGAUAAGGGAUCCCCUUGUCUGAGUCCCCUUUUGCAAUUAAAAGCACCCCGUUCAGUAAAACUGUAGAAGUACCGGACUCAAAGAUUUUCCUCAUCCAUUUUAUCCAUAACUGGCCAAACCCCUUGGUCUGCAUUAGGAUUAUCAUUGCUUCAUGUUCUAUUUUGUCAAAGGCCUUUUCAAAGUCAAGCUUUAAUAUAACGAUCUCCUUUCUAGAAUGGUGACAAAGGUGCAAAUAUUCAAAGGCCCAGGCAAGGCAAUCUUGGAUUGUUCUUGAUCUAAUAAAACCAUAUUGAUUUUUGUGAACCAAUUUUGUGACGACAUUCUGCAGCCUAUUAGCAAGGAGCUUGGUGAUGAGUUUAACUGAUGAGUUCAAGAGAGAGAUUGGCCUGAAGUCAUUAGUUGUGACUGGGUUUUCAUUCUUGGGCAGUAGAGUGAUAAAGGACUUGUUGAUGCUCCUAAGACAAAUUUCUCCACUGUGAAAAGAAUUACACAAAGCGUAGAAGUCUUCUUUGAUCAUUGCCCAACACGCCUUAAAAAACUCAUUUGUGAACCCAUCAGGACCUGGUGACUUAUCAUUGGGAAAAGCUUUUACCACUGCAUCAAUUUCCUCGGUAGUAAAGGGUUCUUCCAGGAAGGAGAGGCCUUCAGUGACUUGAAAAAAAUCCUGGGGUCUUACUGAGAAACCAGUAAAAACUGAUAUAGCCAACCUUUCCUUAAAUUCAUGCCAAAUGACUAAUUCCUUUUCUUGAUGGGAAUGCAGAAUAACACCUUGUUCAGAGAGUAGAUGUUUGAUUAGGUUGCCUCUGUGUCUGAUGGAGGCGUUAGCAUGGAAGAACUUUGUAUUUGUGUCACCUAGGGUUGCCCACUUGAUGGCCCCCCUCUGCCUCCAGUAGAUUUUCUCUUGUUCAAGCAGCUCAUUGAGUUUAAUUCUGAGGAGUUCCCUAAAGUUCCAUUCUGACAAUGAAAGAUCUCUAAAUUCUUCUAAAAUUUCCAACAAGAAGAUUAUGCUUUUAAUAUUGGUAAUGCUGGUCUUUAAGUUUGGAAUAGAGGCCUGCCAUUGUUUGAGAUUUUUUCUUAGGUUCUUGAACUUAGCUGUAACAUUCUUUGCAGGGUCAACCUGAUUAGUGGGAUUGGCCCAGCUUUGAUUCAGAAUAAGCCCAAAAUUUUCCUGUCUUAACCAGUAGUUCUCAAAUCUAAAAGUGCCACUUUUCGGGAUGUGACUGGAAAUACUGAUGAUGCAGGGACAGUGAUCUGAAGGAGACAUAUCUAAGGCAGUCAUUGUUGUAUUAGGAUAUUUGAGAACCCAAGAAUUCGAGGUGAAUGCCCAGUCUAAUUUUUCCAAAAGAGGCGAAGUCUGCUUAUUUGACCAAGUGUAUUUUCUCCCCUGGAGAAAAAUUUCAUUGAGGCCCAAGUCACUAAUCACUUCAUUGAACAUUAAAAUUUCUGCUAAAUUUGCACCCUCUUUGUUUCUAUUUUCAGGUCUUCUAAUCAAAUUGAAAUCCCCUAAUACCAGCCAAUCCAUUUCUUCUUCCACCUGGUAGUCUUUUAACCAUUCCAAAAAAUCUAAUUUCCCUUCUGACUGACAGGGGGCAUACACAUUGGUCAGUAGCCAGGGAGUGUCAUCAUGUUGAGCCUAAAAUUUUAUUGAGAUAGCAUAAUUGUUCGUGAAAACUAAAUCUCCUUUGAAAACUGAGCUUUUCCAGGCCACUAGCAAACCUCCAGAAGCCCCAACAGAGGGUAGAAAUUCAAAGAGAUCGAAGCUAGCAGGGCAAACAUUUUUAAUGAAGGCUAGGUCCAUAUUUUCUUUCUUUGUUUCUUGAAAGCAAAUCACAUCACAGGCAGAAUCAAUCACUUUAUCCCUGAUGGAAUCCCAUUUUAGACGGGAGUUAAUUCCUCUAACGUUCUAACUCAUAACUUUCCAGGUUCUAUUAAGAUUUGUAUUCAUGGAGCACAAAAGGUUGGACACUGAAUUCUGGCUAACAGACACCUGAGCCAUCUGAAUUGAUCAUAGUUCUGACCCCACAAAGUAGCCAUAGUUGUUGCCCUUACAACAGAAGAACCAUGAGUCACAGGUUUAACAGAAAAGCAAUACAACUGCCAGGGCGACCUAACCAAACUUAGCAAAAUAAACAUCUCUGCUACUGCUUGAUACAAGACAAAAACUGCAAGAGACAUAGUUGCAGCUGAGCUAAACAAGCUACUCAGGGACCACAUCCUGGUUUGGAUCCUGCUGUUGUUCUUCCUCAUAGUUGGAAUCAUCAGUAUGACCCCCUUGUGGCACCCUGGUCUUCUUGGGAGCAAUUAGGCUACCUUGCCUCCUUUUUUUGUUUAGGUUCUCUUCUGUAACAUCAUCCUGUUUCAACUUACAAAAGUCAGUGCCCAACUUUUUGAGACUCUGGGUAGGAAUUAUUGGAGGGGUUAGGCAACAUGUUGAGCAUUUCUUGGUUGGACAGGAAUUACUUUUGAAACCUCUAUUUACCUCUCUGAGUCUGCUGCUCCUUCUGAGUUGACUAUCCACCACAGGAGUUCCCUUUCUGUUAAUCCUCUUCUUUGGUGGAGUAAGAUUUUGGGGGAUGAUGGCCCCCUCCCCCUCCUGCUUUCCUGAAGAUCCUUCCUGAUGAUCUAUCACCAAAAGUUUGCCAGGACAGGAAGUUUCAUUAGAGGGACAGGAAUCAGGGAGGAAAAAAACGAGCUGAGGACCAUUAGCCAUAAGAAUUUCACUUGCUUUGGAGGAAAGGAACUGCUUAGCCCAAGAAAAGUGAGUUGGGGAGAGCAACAAGGCAGUAAAAAAAUUGGCCCACUGCUGAGAGAUCUUAACUUGGUAACUACUGGUAUUACCUUUAGAGAGAAAGGGUGACCAGAGAUUCAUGAGGUCCAUUUUCUUGCUAUUUUCCAAGUUCAGAAAAUCCUGAUCAGCCCCCUGAUUGGCAAUUGUCAUAAACACCACCUGCAAGUGUGCAUUUUGACCAUGUUCAUUGAUCUUCAUAGGGUCUUGUUCAUUAAGAGGCUCCUCUUGACCUUGACCAAGCAUCUGUGGUAAAGGCCGCCCAUCUAUCUCAUGCUGAGCCCAUAUCUCCUGCUGAAACUCAUUGUCAUUCUCAACUAGGUUGGCUUGCUCCUAUUGAUUUGGUUGAGGUUGCAUCUGCACAUCUAAAACUUCCUGUAUAGGGCCCAAAGGUUGAGCUAUCUCUUGAUUAAGAGUUUCCUCUUCUACAAUUUGUAACUCAAGCUGAUCAAAGGGAAUUUCUCUCCUAUGACAUCUUCAACUGGUAGUGCAGGAAACUGAACAACUUGAGGCACUACUGGGACAAGUGGUUGUACCAUAUGCUGAACUGGCUCUAGCUCUAGCAUUGGGUUUUGCUGUAGAGGCACAAACUGCUGAGGGAUGUUUUUCUCUAUUUCUUCUCUAACUUCUUCUAUCUGAAAAUACCCUUCUGGUGGAUAAGCUGGGUGGAUAAAUACUUCAAGUGGAUCCACCUCAAAGGGCUGAUUAAGAUCAAUGUCCAUUUGCUGUUGGGGCUCUAGAUUCAAGUCCUGGACUUGUGCUUGUUGGGCCAUUUGCCAGGGGUUUGCUUGUUGUAACUGAAGCUAGAGUUGAUCAUUUGGUUGGUCUUGCUCUUGCUGCUGUACAUUUUCAUCUUGCUGACCACCAAUAUCCUCCUGGUGAUCUUCCUGGUGUUGCUGCACAACAGGUUGACCCAGGCCAAAGAAAUCAAAAGGAAUCACAGGUUCCAUCUCCAAUUCAUCUGGGACAGGUUCUUCAAUAGGAGGGGCUUGACCCAACUGGUGGUGUUGUAGGACUUCACACUGAAUGGUCCAAGAUUCAGCACGCAGAUCCAUUGAAUCAGAGUAAACUAUGAACUGAGGAACUUGUUGAAUACUAGUCACUCUAGCCCUAACCAUAAUCCUCCCUGGAAACUUUUCACUCUCUUCCCAAAGUACCACCUUUCCAAAAUCAUUUACUGCAUUUUGGAUGUGCCUUUCAGAUUUAUAAUCCUCCGAAAAACCCAGCAUUAAAAUCCAACAUUCCUCAUUGAAAUAAACCCUCCUCCAGUUUCUACCUUCAUUAUGCUUAACAAAUGAAAUCUGAACAUUUCCAAAGGGAAAAGGACUAUUUCUAACAAGAGCAUCACGGUGGUAAGCAUGAUUGAAACGAACAUAGGCUUGACCAAGAUGGCAUGGCAUGAUAUCUCUAACUCCCAUAUGCUGCUCAAAGAGGAACUGCCUGAUGACUGCUCUAACAUUGGUGAAGUUAAGUUCAUUACCAGGGAGAGGAUCGAAGUUUACGAUCGCCAGGUCCUCAUUGGCGGCUGGCGGCCUCAUCGGCGCAACCGCUCUGCUCAUGAACACACGAUCAGGCACUUCCUCCCAAUGGAAGCCAGCUGGAACAAAUGGCGUCGGGUCGGCCCUCUGGUAUGCCAUGGCCGUCUCUCCAGGUGAGCUCUCCCGCCUAGCUUGCAGAUGAGACUGUAGCACUUGAGUGGAGUUUUCCUGGUGCUUAGGCGAGGGGGGCGGGGAAGGCGAGAAGCCAAGUGAGAGUUGGAGAGGAACAGCCACCGUAUUAGUGGGAGCAGUAGUGGGCUUUGGCCCUCUGUGAGCAUUAAACUCAGGGUUGAUAUCCCGAGCGGCCCAAGUUGGAGAAAGGGAAAGCCUAUGCCCCAUCUCAGCAAAUGAAGUGUAGACUGGCGGGUUUGACGAGGAAGGCCCAGCUGCCGCAAUAUUGAACCAAUUGGUAGCGUGAACACUGUUCACAACAUUUUUAUUACGGGUGAUUACAAAUCCCUUGUUAUCCGGAGUUCUGAAACGGCAAUUUACUUCCGUGUGACCCCAGUCCAUGCAUGACCAGCACCUGAUUGGCCUACGACAAUCCGCUCUGACAUGAUCUUUUGACAAGCAGCGUGCACAGGUGGCUUUGAUGACCUGGUGUCUGACAGUAUCUUUAGCAGAUAGCGCUAUCUGGCUGCCCUGACCAAGGACAUCGGACGGAGGUUGAAGACGAUCAAAGACUGAUCGUCGGCGAGAAGAGGAAUCCUGCCUGGGCUGCCCGAUUGGGACACAGUUUGCCCCGGUGAGCAGCGGAGCAGGUUGCGAUUUGACGACCUCAGCAAAGGUUUUACCGAGACGAUCAAAAGCAGAGGUGCGAGUGUUGGAUGCAGCAGGAGCUUGAGCUUUGGAAACAGUUCUCCAUGAACGUGCUUCUUCAUCAAGAAACCGGGCAUAUUCUUUACGCCAAUUUGGUCCGCCGUUUCCCCAAGGAUGGAAGCUCAGCGAGUAAGAGUCACAGAAGAAAGAAUGAAGGUUGAGAAUGUGAAAUCCCACCUUCCUGGAGGCAACGAAGAAUUUAAAAGUGCGAUUAGCGAGAGCAGCGACUUGGAAAUGAGUGGCAAGACCACCAACGGUGGCCUGAAGGAUCUGACCGACCGAAGCGGGAUCAAGGCAAAACUUGCAGCGGCCGAAUGCCACAACCAAGGCAAAAGAAGAAGAACCGAUGAACGGAGAGGAAAUCUGCAGACCCCAAAGCUUAAGAACUUCUUUCUGAACGCUCAGUCCCGGCGCGAAGGACAAACGAUCCAGCGCCAUUGAAGCCAGACACGAACAACAAACAAUCUAGGGGCCAGGGCGACGAGACUUACAGACCAGAGUUGUUCUGCCCAACACAGGGUGACGAAGAAGCAGCCAUUGUAGAGCUGCCGCACCCCGCCGCCUUCCUCCUGUAUAGCCAGUCAAGUCGUCGCGAGACAAGUUUUUGAGUCACGCCAUCGGCCGUCAGCCCGUCACCACCGGCUCACAGCUGCCGGUCUGCCGCGCCAUCGCUCCGCUCCGCCGGAUCAGCCCGGAGCCGCACCCACUCCGGCCUCCGGUGCUGCCUGCACGGCCGCCGACGCCGCCUUGCCCUGCUGCGGCCUGCGCGCCUCCGUCGCCGGCCCCCAGCCGGCAGCCGGACGCCGCGCGCCUCCGCCGUGCUGCGCCCGGCUCGGCCUCAGCCGAUGGACAGGUACGCCUGCCGGACGCCGCCGGCGAAGGUCAGCGUCUCCUCGACAGUCGUAGGCCUAUUACUAUAAAAAUAGUUAAGGAAGAAUCUAAUGAUAUUUAGUUGGUAUCAUAAUAGUUAUUAUUUUAUCAUAUAAAUUUGAUUAAACUUAAGGUACUUUGACUCUCCAAAAUUAUUGGAAUGACUUAUAAUUUGGGAUGGAGGGAGUACCAUCUAUAUUUGUUCCGAGGGCGGGUAUAUCUUUUAUGAUGUGGAGGGGAGAGAGAGAAAGAGAGAAAUGUGAGAAAAAUUUAGGACUAUAAGACACAUAAUUCACCAUCGUAUGAUUUAAUACUGUCAUGCAGCUCACAAACUUUUCUUUGCUGACUACACAAAUUAUGGAUAAAUAGAAGACAGCUUAACAGACAAUCCAUUGUAUAUGAUGGUUGUUCAAUUGCCCCAUAUUUACUGGCACUGCAUGGGACAAUCUAUAAGAUAAUACCAUUAUACUUGCCCUUGGUUCAAUAUCUAUAAAACUAUAUAUAAAGUAGAAUGAAAAGGCUUUAUGCAUUAUUCAGAUAAAGGUACUAUCUUUAAAAAAUGUUGUCAAUCUAAAUAAAAUAUCAAAUGUUUAUGGUCACAAUUUAGAAACUUGAACUUAUGAAAGGUAUAUUCUAUGUCUUCAUACGGAGAUGACAGUUCUUCCUGCGGAAGGAGGAAUAACAAAAAUGAAAGAAAAAUGUGCAGUUGAAGAUGACACUUCAACUCCAACAAACGAUGUCAAUCAAGACAUGAGAAAACAUGAAAGGCUACCAACGAUUGAAUACCUAAUCAUUGAAGGUUUGCUUUUGUUGACACCGUUUUCUGGCACGUGUCAAGAUAAUCAGAAUGGACUAAUCGGCAGUAGGAAAUUUGUUGUAUUGUACUAACAGAAGGGUGCCGAUGAAGAUCAGUCGAUGGAGAUUGUUGCCGAUAAAUGGUGGUGAUCGAUGGGAGGAUUGUCUUUUGACUUAAACUCAGAGGUGUUGUUAACAAGAUCGGAGAUGGCAUUGCCGAUGACGAUUAAAAGACUAUUGUCGAUGAGGCUUAUGAUGAUACAUUGCCGAUGUUGAUGAAGAAAGACAUGGAGACUACUGCUGGUGAAGCUUACGAUGACAGAAAGCAUGCCGAUGGAGCAGAAGCCGAUGAAGAUUUCAUCGUAACUAAGGCGGACGUGAAAGUAGAUAGGUGUUGUUUUCCUUUUCUAUAUUUGUUAGAGUAUGAUCUAUGUAAGAGACGUGUUUUACUUUAGAUACGGAUUCGGUGUCCUAGUCGUAUUUGGUUAUAAUUCUUCGAGUCAGGGUAUAAAUAUAGACCAAGGAACAAUGUAAUAGGAGACUCAAUCAAUAUCAAUCCAAGUUUACUCCUAUUUUACAUCUAUUUACUUUUCGGCGACUUCGUCAAUUUGCAUAUUUUCUUUUUACGAGUUCUCAUCGAUUCGACGAGCUGCAUCGCUUCAGUGCGACCUUCGACGAUCCUCAAGUUCCGUGUGAAUAUCUCUUGGCCGUGGCUUCCGGGCGCAUCGCUGUUGUCAGGACCAAAGUGCUCGAGUUAUCAUCCUUGUCGAUUAACACGUCAAAUCGACUGGCACGUCCUGGAUAUCGGAUCGGGUAUUAGUCCUUUGUGUUUGUAGAUCCACUUUUGUAUCAACAACUUUUUCAUUCGGGUCUCCCAAAAUUCUAUUCCAACCUCUGCAAUAGUUUUGCACUCAACCAAUACAUUAUUACAGCUAAGCCUUAUACUAGAUUUAAAGAGCUCACAAAAAGCAAAAGAAAGAAAAUGACACCGACAAACUAAGCACUAAGCCUAAUAGAAGAAGUGUUUGGCAAAAAUCAAUAUUGUCGUAAUUUCCAACAUUCGAUAAUACUCAUUUCAUCAUAGGUUUGGUUUCCUCUUUCUGCAGGAUGGACCAUGAGCGCAUCCAGUGAGUAGCCCAUAAAAUAACUUGUGAAUAGAAGUAUAGCGCUUUAUUAUAAAAAAAUUGCAUCAUUUCUAGACCGCGACAAUAUCACCUCAAUUUCAAGGAUUUAUUAUAAAAAAAACAUAAAACAAUGCCAAACAAAUCCCCUCCAUUGUAGCUACGCCUCGCUGUCCAUGCCACAAACAUCCAUGACCCCACUUUUAUGGUGUUGUUUAGCUGUACUCUAAUCCACAUCUCAAUUCACGUCCUCUCUCUGUCCCUAAAAGCUGCAACUUUUAGAAUUAUUAUAACUCAAACUUUUAUAAUAUUGACCAAAUUUAUAGAAAAAAAGCUAAAAUUUAUAGUACUAAUUAAUACCAUUAGAUUUAUUAUAGAAUAUAUUUUCGUAAGAUACUUAUUUUAUGUCAUGUCAUAGAUAUUGAUACUCUUUUUUAUAAAGUUGGUCAGAGUUAUAAAAGUUUGACUGACACAAAUUCUAGGAGUUGAAGCUUUCAGCGACAGAGGAAGUAUAUUAUAGUGGAUUAAAGUUGAGCCAAACCAUAACAUAAGAUUGUUGCAAUAUCACACUGCUUGAUUCCCGCAUUUCCAAAACUCUAAUACCUUGCAACCUUGAAAAUGAAAUGGAUACAAAAUUUAAAAUAAUUAUUGAGCAUAUUCCUUCGGUCCCAAAAUAAAUGAUUUUAUGAGAAAACACAGACAAAUUAAGGACGUUAGCAAAAGACGUAUGUAUCUUUGUCUCCGUUCCCUUUCCGAAUGAUAUCUCCUCUUACAUUUGGCACCUAUCAUUUGCAUGCAUCUGAGAUUAAAUUUCAUAUUAUUUUAGAAUGCUAUUUUUUAAGGAAUAAAUUUUAAAUCUCAAAAAAAUAAUUUAUUUUAAGACUGAGGGAGUACAUUGUUGACAAGAGCAUAUAAUGGUAUAUUUAAUUCAUGUAUUGUUAUUAGUAUGUUACAAUUUAAGUUGCAUUAUUGUCGACAUGAUUAGUUGUUACGCUGUUGCCAGCUGACGAAAAGUCAUGGCUAAAAAUAUUAUUCGCUAAUUUAUUAUAAGAAAAAAUAUUAUUGGUUGAUAAAAAAAAAAGUAUGGACGGGCUCAAUCAGUGUAAGUACAUUAUAGCACGUCCGCAACUCCUACGGUGGUACCGCACGCUGUUCCCUCCUCCCUGCUCGCCGCUUCCAAUCAUGGGCUUGGGAUUGGGAGCAUGGCCAUCAGCGAAGAUGCCGCGGAGAAAAGGCCGGAAGAGGCUGAGAAAUUGGAGAGCGACAGGGCGAACAGCCGCACAAUCACAAUUCACAACUCAAGCUACUCUUGCAUGCCCCGCAGCUUUGCAUGCGCGGAUUAAUUGUAGCCCUUGAUCGAGUCCUUGGGCCACGAACUCAGGCAGGUCCACAGACAAAAUUGGCAAGUGGCCUUGUUGCCGCACUGAAAGGCCCGUUCCUAGCCCAAAAUUAGCAUCCGUAUACACUAUAUCAAGGAAGUAUAUAUAUAUUUUCCUCAUUAUUAAAAAAACAAAAAAGGAAGUAUACAAUCGGUCUCUUCUGGCAACUGAUUAGUGGGAGGACCGGAGGAGGCACAAUGCAUGGCACGUUCCAGAGACUCAAAGCCAUACCUUCAAUUCAACAGGGUCAUCAUUUAUAUCACGUAGAACAUUUGUAUAGAAACGCAACCAUUGUAUCUUCCAAAAUUCUAGCGCAUCAAGUGACCACUAGAGCCAAAAAGGAUAUUAAAAAGAGGAGGGAUUUCCUAAGAUGUUGCUAAUCUUGUAAUUUCUUUGUCCCUAUGUCAUUUCUAAGGGGAAUUUUCUCAUUUGUUUAACCCCUCUUCACCCUCAUUAAGUAUAUAUGGUGUGACCCACCAUUGUAAACUAAACCUUUUUUCCUUUUUAGCGCUCAUUUCCUAUGUCAAAAAAAAGAGAAGAAAAAUUGGGUGAGCAAGCUGACAUAGCUCUAACAAACCCUAGCGUGACUGUGGUGAGGGCGAGGGCGGGGUCCACGACAAGAGCGGGGUGUUUGAUGGCAGGCCGGCGCUGGCAAGGAUGAGUAUGUGCAAGAAGGGAGUGCGGCGCAAGGAGGAAGAAGGGCCGCGCCCUCCCAAGCACGCGACCCAUUGUGGCAUGGCAUCCUUUAUUUAACACAUAGGAAAACACGUAUAACAUACGUGUUAAAUUACGCAACCAUCAUAUCUACUAAAUACAAAUACCAUCCCAGGCUACGAAAAAUAAAAUGCAGCUGUCAUAACCUUUAUUGACAAAUCGACAGCUCUCCACAUAGUCAGCUUUUAUUUCCACUCAGCUCAGGAAAUUAACCUUUAGGAAUUAAUGAUAACAUGCAGCGGUCGUAAAAUAAGAAGGGAAGGAUAUAACAAACAACAAAGAGCAGUUCAUCACAAACAGCACAGGCAUUGCAACCGGGCGACGGAUCGAUCGAUGAUGGGCUGAUGGAGAGCCGCUGCGAUGGAUUAACAAUUAUACGGAGGCCAACGUGGCAUCAUCGCUCAAUUAGCCAAUGUAGUAGAGGGGGUCAGGCAGCUUGAAGGUGCGAGCACCCUCCGGCGCGCCCAGGAUGUCGCUCCACUGGUCGCCGAUGUUGCCGACGAUGACGUACCCGGCGUCCUGCAGCUUCUGCCGCUCGCCGGACUUGUAGGCGAUGGCGGUGGCCUUGAGCCCGACGGGCUUGAGCAGCAGGUCCAUCCAGCCGGAGUAGCCCUGGCGGCGGAGGUUGGUGACGGUGAUGGCCCUCUGGUCCUCGGUGCGCCCCGUCAGGAACACCGGCUUGAUGCCGAGCGAGAUGAGCUUCUUGAAGAGCCGCUGCGACUCCGGCAGCACCGGCGCGCUCCCCUCCAGCACGUACUCGUUGAAGCUCGUUGCGUUGUACGGCUUAGUGCUACACAAUGACAGUGAAACAACAGUCAGCUACUCUAUCUGUCCAUGAAAAAAAACACUUUUUAAGAAUUUAUAUUAGUUAAACUUUUUUUAAAUUUAAUUAAUAACUUUAUAGAAAAAAGUAAUAACAUCUAUAAUAUAAAAUGUAUCUCUUAUAAAAAUAUAUUCUAUGAUAAAUCUAAUAAUAGUAAUUUGAUAUUAUAAAUCGUGUAUUUUUUAAAAAAAUUGUUAAAGUUUAAAAUUUUUAACUGAGGUCAACUUUCGAAAUUGUUUCUUUCGUGUACAGAGAGAGUAGGGGUUAAGUAUAGUUGGCACCAUGCGUUAGACAGUAACAUAAUUUUUCUUUGUGGGUGAACAGUAGACAACCUGCUUUUGGAUAGGACGGUAUCAAGAUUCCAGAAAUUGAUAAGGUUUCUGUAGCCAGAAAGCAGUUGGCCAAGUGGACCAGUGAUAUAUCUACUGUAUGUAUUCUGCACGUACGUGGUCCUGCUCUGAUCUGGCAUAAUCUCAUCAACGUCCCCGUCAGGCAUUGUUUUGCUCGGCACAUGCAGACAUGCUGCCCUUGUCCUUGUCCCAGCACCAUCAUAUCUGUGCCCCUUUCUUUGAGAUAGAGGACACAGAAACUAUACAUAUACAUAGGUUUUCUACUGUGGACUACUCCAACAUGGCCAAAUGCAAUUACGUUUGCAACAUAUGUAAUAUGCAAAUAUAAGAGUUUCUAACUUUGUCCUAAACUAUUACUACAAGUAUGAUUAAGUUAAUAGAAAAAACAACAAUAUUUAUGACUGAUACCAAUUGAGCAUUAUGAGGUCCACUCAAUUAAAGAUAUAUAUAUAUAUAUAUUUUUACAUUUUUCUUCUUUGAUGUCAGAGAUGCUCAUACACAAAAUUAGUCAAACUUCCAAUAGUUGCAUUUAGAAAUAGGAUCAGAAGCAUUUUGUACUUUUGGAUGGUGGGAGUAGACCGAUUUAAUGUCUUUCUAAGUAAAAUUUAUCUAAUAUUAAACAAUACAAGUUUAUAUAUAAAACAAUGUAUCGAUAUCUAUAAUACCACAGAAAUGAACUGUAAAGAUAUGGUGGCACGUAUUUUGUUCUAUAUAAAAUUUUAAACUGCUUACACCUUGAAAUUAAAUGGACGGAGUACCUAGUGUUGAAGUAACUUCUAUAAAUAAAAAAAACAAUGUUCGGUUAUCAAAUGAUAUGCUGGAUUUUAUAUACGCGACAUUUUAAAUUGGAUUUUUAGUGGCAGAUGGCCUAACUACCGGAUCUAAAAAUAUGACUAUUUGUACUUCCUUGCGUCUGACAUAACCCAUAAACCACCACCAGUACAAAACUAAACAUAUAUAUAUAUAUAUAUAUAUAUAUAUAUAUAUAUAUAUAUAUAUAUAUAUAUAUAUAUAUAUAUAUAUAUAUAUAUAUAUAUAUAUAUAUAUAUAUAUAUAUUCUACUAGUAGUAGUUUUAAUCAACUAUUAGUAAAAAUAGGAGCAUUUGUACUAAUGGUCAUGUGACAUAAAACGCAACUGAAAUGAUUUUUUUUCACUAGCCGUUCUUGUGUGUUAGCCCCCCAAAAAUAACUGCUAUUAGCGUCUCCUUUUGUACAUCGUCAGUAAAAAAAAAAUAAGUAGCGCACUGUAAUGAAAACCGUCUCUAUAUAUUAGUCAGGCUAGCUAAUUCUGCGCUGGAGAAUAUAUAUGCGUACUAGCCAUGAAACAACAUAAUACGUACCGGCGUACGUACGUACGCCAGCAGCUGCGUGCGACCAGGGCCUUGUUUAGUUCCGAAAAGUGAAAAGUUUUCGGUACUGUAGCACUUUCGUUUGUUUGUGACAAAUAUUAUCUAAUUAUGGACUAACUAUGAUCAAAAGAUUCGUUUCGUGAUUUACAACUAAACUGUGUAAUUAGUUUUUAUUUUUGUCUAUAUUUAAUGUUUUAUGCAUGUGCCACAAGAUUCGAUGUGACGGGAAAUCUUGAAAACUUUUUGGUUUUUAAGGUGAACUAAACAAGGCCAGGUUUGCUCUGGGACGUACGGACGGAGUACUUGCCGUCAACUAUAUACACGGGUAUCGAAUAAAAACCAUUAAACAACGUGUGUGUAUAACGUACGUACCCGAAGCCAUGGGUGGCAUAGUAGGGGAGGUUGGAGAGGGACGUCUCGUCGAUAUCGAACACCCACACCUCCUUGCCGUUGCCGGCGAGCUUGAGCCCCUCGGCGUACGCGAUAGCCUCGUCGACGACGACGCGGGAGUCCCGGCGGUAGUGCCCGCCGAGCAUGUAGUGGCCGACGUAGCCCUCGCAGCUGCCCGGCACCGUCGUCCAGUCGCGCUUGUUGUACGUCUCCACGGCCAGCCGCCAGCUGUCGCACGGCACGCCGGCGCGCAGGCCCAGGUCUCCCGCGGAGCCCAUCAGGGGCCGCAGCGCGUGGAUCAGCGACGACGACGCCGACGCCGACGACGCCGCCGACGACAGGUCUUCCUUCAGGCGCUCCGCGGCGGCCUCGACGGACUGCGCCGCCGUCGUCGUCGGCAGCGUCCGGAGGAGGCUCAGUGGCCCCCGCCAGGCGCUGCCGCCGCAGGAGCUGCCGGCCACGAGGACCAUCAGGAGGACGAGCUUGGCCGUGGCCAUUGCCAUUGCCAUUGCGACUGCGCCACGCACCCGAUCUGCUGCGUGCUAGGAGAACACUCUGUGUGUCCCCUGUUCUAUCUGCGAUGCACAGCACAGGCGUGGUUGUGUGAACUUUAAUAGAGCAUGCGUGUAGUGUUGAGGGCCCACAUGUCAUCAGCCCAGCGCGUGAACCACGUGGAGUAUGGUCACUGACGUUGAUGGGCAGGUUUGGACGGGCGCGAUGGGACGAAUGGUAGUGGACAAGCGCUGCUGGCCGUGUACCCAUUAUUGGAUGACAAUGGGUAGUUUUGGGUUGGAUAUCUUUGGGUUUCAGGUUCAGGUUUGGAAGGGAUUUCUCACCCAUGCUUUUUGGGUUUGGGAGCCCAAAACCUAUUGCAUUCGGUUGCGGGUUUGAUUUUUUCAUCCGAUGGUAUCCAAUGGAUACCAGAUUUGAAUCAUUUGGUACCAAAAAAUCGAGUAUCCAUUGGGUAGAAAAAAAGUUAUUCCUGGAUCAUUUGGUACCAAAAAAUCGCCCAAAACCUAUUGCGUUCGGUUGCGGGUUCAGGGAAUCAUUUUGGGUAUCCAAUCGAGUUUCGGGGAUUCGUGGGUAUUAGUUUCAGGGAUGGAUUUCCAUCCAAGUUUGGUGUUUGAGGCGGUUCAGGUUUUCAGUUCGAGUUUCGGUUUUGGAUGCCCAGAGACUCCACCCGAUUCAAACCCUAUUGUCAUCCUUAAUUAACCAUGAGAAUGUGAGACGCGGAGGACCGAUAUGAUGACAUAACAGGCACAGCAUGCCUGCAUGGAUGCAUGCAAAAGGUCUGAUAAUGUAAGGUGCCUUGGCUCACCCACUGAGAAGAUACUGACUUGUACAUUUAAUUUAUUUUAUUUAUAAAAAACAUACAUAAAUCUCACAUACGUAUUACACUGAUGAUACGCACAUGAUAUCUCUAUGAAUGAGACCAGGGGUGGGGUGAAUCUUAGCCUUCAUUAUUGGUGUGGCACGAGCAUGACCACAACGAUGAAAUUUGGCAAAAACCAGUGGACACCUAAUUCAUCAUUGUUGGGACCCCGUGAAAUCCGGAUUUGCUCUGAAUAAGGUUAAGAGCAUCUCCAUCACAUUGAUUUAAAUGCAUCCAUUUUCCUUAUAAAGCAGAAAUAAAGGGAAUUGCAAAAAAUGAGCUCCAUGAGAUCCCUUCUCAAUCCUUUUCUCUAUUUUUUUCUCAAUUCGUCAAAUUCUCUCCUCUCUCUCAAACAACGGGAAACUAAUAGGAUUUUUUCUCAAUCCCCUUUCAUCCCUCCUAUUUCAUUGGCAUAUAUGCGGGCCCUGCUAUACCUGAAUGGCACCAUCGACCGCAAAAUAGAGUAGUUGUGGGUAUAGGCCGCUAUAGCUACUCAUAGAUGAUGUAGAGCUCAAUAUAUAUAGGUCGUAGUCGGAUAUUUUGAACAUUGGUACAAACUCGGUGUGUGUAAUAUUGGUACAUAGGUGUAUUUUACAGCUACAUAAAUUAAUUUUAGCCAUGACCAAAAUCAAUUAGUAGAUGCAGUUUUUGAAAAACCACAUGUACCCAAGGGCCCCAAAUCAAGUAUUUUCUAGAUGAAGGUGUUGCAAGGCACCUAAAAAUCGAUUUCUAGAAUAGAUCAGUAAGGUUGCUCUCCCUAGAUAUCUCACGAACUAUCCUAAAUAUAUAGAUAAUGGUCUAUAUAUACAAUUUCUAGAAUGGAUUGGUGAGGUUGCUCUCCCUAGAGAUAUCUCUCACCAACUACAUCUAGAUAUAUAUCAAAUAAAAUAUGUCCUCUUGUGUUGUCAAGGAUUCAGGCCUAUGACUUCAUGCUUUUUUCACAACAACUAUGACUUCAAGCUUGGCGCGAGCCCGCAAUGGGACACAAUCAUUGGUGACUGAAUAUCGGAUGCUAUUCUUUUAUAUUUUUUUACACGAGGAAUCUUCCCAUUUCCAUUGAUGACCCAAUAUAAUGGAAAUACAACAUUUAAGAGGUUACACAACAAUAUAAGAUGAAUAAUUCACUAGAAUAACCACAAAACAUCAGGCCUAUAUCAGGUGCUACAUAGAGCUAAAUUGAAUAAUACUUUGACAAACCAGGGAACACCUUGCCCAACAGUUAGAGAAAACUAGAUAAUUAAAAAAUAGAGUUUUUCUACAAAGAAAGGCCAUCCAAAUGCCACAAGUGCUGAGGCAGUCAAGCGCCAGUAGGCACCUUUCACCAUCUUCAAUCUUGAUCAUCGUCUUGGUUAUCCUCCAACAUGAGUUGCCAGCUGUGGGGGUAUAAACCCCUAUACCCUUACGGCUAGACUUCGGCCAGGAAGCUUGGCCCAGUACGAGACGAGUUCAAGGCUUGAUCCGACAACCUGGAGUUUCGCGCAAGGAAACAAGAUGGGGAGAUCAAGCAGGAUUCUAGUCGGUUAGAAUAGGAAUUGAUAUCGAAUUAUCCAUGGCAAUUGUAACCGACUAGGAUUAGUUUCCAGAUCUGUAACCCUGCCCUCCGGACUAUAUAAGGAGGGGCAAGGGACCCCCCUAGGACAUCAUAUUCUCUCAGCACAAAUCAAUACAACCAGACGCAGGACGUAGGUAUUACGCCAACUCGGCGGCCGAACCUGGAUAAAAAGCUUGUCCGUGUCUUGCGUCACCAUCGAGUUCGUAGUUUGCGCACCGUCUACCGAUAAACUACUACCGAGGGUAUACCCCAAGGUAGACUGCCGACUAGCUUUCGUCGACAGUGGCGCGCCAGGUAGGGGGUGUGCGUGCAACUUUUCCGGCGAACAAGAUGGUCACGAUCCCAGCUUCCGCGACCGUGCCCGAAGGCCUCACGUUCACCGUCGGCCAGAUCACGUGGACGACGUGCAGCGGCGGCUUCGCGACCAUGGUUCCGAAAGAGAUCCAGAUCCAAUCUGAGAUCACGCCGUCUCCGACCACACGCAUGACGGCACCAAGCUCCCGACCACCGUUCCCACUCUACAAGGGAAAGGAGAUCGACUGCUCGGACCUCCUCCAAGCGCUCGAUCGCGCUGACUCCAAGCUACUCGAAGUCUCCCAACUAAUAGAUGGAGUUCUGGGCCGGCCCGACCAAGCUGCUCGAGCGGAUUUUUCGAAAUCCCGCCGGCCAACUCGUGUCGCCACACACGAACGGCUGGGAACGUCCCUGACGAUAACCUCAACCCCCUCAGGACGAUCCGUCGAGCUCAAAAAGGAAGACUAUCCUUGCGGCCUGAACAACUCGGCCUCUGUUUACUCACAGCAUGUCCAAUCCGUUUUCAGCAAGGCGGGUUGGUCGCCGACAAGGAACAACCGUCACCAUGUCAACAUGGUGACAAUCCGAGAGCUACGGGACGGCCAGGUUUCCAGCACCAACUCAAGCACCGGCUCCGUCCCCACCGAGGUUAUAAACACCGAAGACGAGGGCUACGACCUGGAUUUUCCUUCACACCCUCCGGGUUUCGACCGAUUCCCGAUAUUCCCCCCCCCCCGGCGAGGGGAUAUUGUGUUCAAUGUUAGCGCCGACGAACCGGCUGUUGACGGAGAAACAGAUGACCAGAGGCAACUCCGCGAACAGCGUAACGCCGAUCGCGCCCGACGGCGUGCGGACGAGCAACAACAGAUGCCACCAAGUAACCUCAAUGAUGCCUUUGACAUGGUCGGGGACCAGCCGGUCUACAAAACGCCAAGCGCCAACGUGGCUGUCGCCAUGGCCAACCUGGAUCGGCUUCCUGACACCCCCGAGUGCCAGGGAGUCCGGACCAGCAUCCGAGCACACCUGAUCGCCGUAAUGGGACAGACAGCCACUCUGCUCAAGAGAGUCCAGGACGUCUCUUAUACGGAAGCCGCCUCCGACCAGACUAAUCGUAGCCAGGUCUCACCCAGCAGGCGUCACCGCAGCCGCUCCCCCGACAACAGUCGAGGGGACUCGCGGCGCGACGAUGGUGGUCGGGACGCCGAUGGCCGCCGCAAGCAAAUUCAUGGCGUACGCGGCCAAGAAGAAGAUCAACACAGGGAUCUCCGCCACAACAUCCCUCCCAAAGAUGCCCGGGACCGCAUCAACAGGCGCGCCGCAGAGAGUGCAGUCCACGAAAACCUGCGCCGCAUCGAGUACGAUGCGACCCACGGUCCUCCGGGCCUAAGACAGUUCUCCUCACACCUCCGCCAGGUCGUGUGGCCCCGCAAUUUCAAGCUCGAAAAACUUAAAAAAUACGACGGCAAGGAAAAUCCAGAGAACUGGAUCACUCUCUAUGAAAUCGCCGUCCGAUCAGCGGCAGGAGAUGAGCACGUCAUGGCUAACUACUUCCCCGUAGUCCUCGACCAGGAUGGUCAUCAGUGGCUUCUCGGCUUGCCCGAGGACUCCUUCGACUCCUGGGAAGAGCUACGCCAGGCUUUCAUCGACAACUUCAUCGCCACAUGCGAGCUGCCCGGAAACAAGUAUGACCUUGAAAGGAUAAGAGACAGGAAGAAUGAACCUCUGCGCGAUUACAUCCGACGAUUCUCGGAUAUGCGCCUCAAAAUCCCGAAGAUUUCUCAUGACGAGGCCAUAUCAGCCUUUAUCAAGGGCUUGCGUUUCCAUGAAGCGCUGAGGAACAAGCUGUUGCGUAAGCGCCCAUCAACGGUAGCAGAGCUCCUCGCCACGGCUAAAAAUUACGCCGACGCUGAUGACGCAGAAAAACUAAUCCGAGACGAUGCGAGAGGCCCCGACCAGCCUUCCCGGCGAGAUGACGGUCGUGGUCGCUACGACAACAGAAAUCACCGCCGCUCCGACAACCGCGAUCACCGAGAGGGUUGGGAUCGGCGGCGCGACAGCCGCGACGACUUCAGAGGAAAGCGCCCUCGCGAAUACGACCACGAAGUAAAUACGGUCAAACGUCCCAAUGGACGACGGGACUACCAAGACGACUACAACAAAACGUUGAAGGGACCGUGCCAGCUACACCCAAAGUCUAACCAUACCAUGGAAGAGUGCCGCGUCCUCAAAAGUAUCUAUACACGGCGGGCCGCCCAAGAGGACUCCGCCAAGAAGAAUAACAAGCGCGACGGGCACGACCACGAAGAUGAGGAUGAGGACCAAGACAGGGACCCCCGACACCAAUACGUCAGCCCCACCGACGUGGUCCACUCCAUUUUCGGGGGCAAGGUCUCCACUGAGUCCAAGCGAGAAAGAAAGCUGUUAAAGAGAGCCUGCCUCAACAUAGACAGCACGGACGGGCUGAUCGCAGAUCCGAAAUUUCCCGCGUGGUCCCACAGGGAGAUCUCGUUCAGCAGGAAGGACCAGUGGGCCGCUAUCCCAGAGCCGGGUCGUUUCCCACUGAUUCUUGAUCCCUGCAUCAAUAGCAUCAGAUUCGAGCGCGUGCUCGUGGACGGGGGAAGCUCCAUCGACAUCCUCUUCCGCAACAGCCUGCCCGCCCUCAAGAUAUCACCGGCACAACUAAAACCUUACGACGCCCAAUUCUGGGGGGUUUUGCCAGGUCAAAGUUCGGUGCCCCUCGGACAGAUAACAUUGCCUGUCCAAUUCGGCACACCCGAUCACUUCCGGACGGAGUUCAUCAACUUCGUAGUCGCGGAUUUCGACGGGACCUAUCACGCCAUACUGGGCCGCCCAUCGCUGACAAAGUUCAUGGCAGUCCCGCACUACUCAUACCUAGUCCUUAAGAUGCCCACGGAGAAGGGUGUCCUAACCGUCAGAGGCAACGUCUACACCGCGUACACCUGCGAAGAAGAAAGCUUCAAGAUCACCGAGGCAAUCGACCUCUCAAUCCGCAUGGCGGAAACAGCAAACCAAGCCGCACAGCUGCCUCCCGACCAGCUCCGAUUACCUGAGCAGGAGACAGCCAGAAAGAACUCGAAAUCCAAGGAGUACAAAGAAGUGCAGCUGGUCGAAGGCAACCCCGAGAAGACAGCCCUCAUCGGGGCUAACCUGGAUCCAAAAUAGGAAGACGCGCUCGUCAGGUUUCUAAGGGACAACGUGAGCGUUUUCGCAUGGAAACCCGCAGACAUGCCCGGUGUCCCACGAAACCUGAUCGAGCACUCCUUAAAUGUCUCGAAGACCGCAAGACCAAUCAAGCAAAAACUGCGACGGUUCGCUCGUGACAAAAAGGAGGCUAUUAGGACAGAAAUAACACGGCUUCUAGCAGCCGGAUUCAUAAAAGAAGUGUAUCACCCCGAUUGGCUCGCCAAUCCGGUUCUUGUACGCAAAAAGAGUAAUGAAUGGAGAAUGUGCGUUGAUUACACCGAUCUCAACAAACACUGUCCUAAAGAUCCUUUUGGUCUUCCUCGCAUCGACGAGGUGGUCGACUCAACGGCCGGAUGCGAACUCCUCUCCUUUCUAGAUUGCUACUCUGGUUAUCACCAGAUCUCGCUAAAGGAAGAAGAUCAGAUCAAAACAUCCUUCAUCACACCCUUCGGCGCAUACUGCUACACUACCAUGUCUUUCGGACUUAAAAACGCCGGGGCCACUUAUCAAAGGGCCAUCCAGCAAUGCCUCCACGACGAGAUUCGCGAUGACCUCGUCGAGGCCUAUGUGGACGACGUGGUCGUAAAAACAAGGGACGCGAGCACCCUAAUCGACAACUUAGACCGAACCUUCAAGGCACUCAAUAGGUACAAGUGGAAGCUCAACCCCAAGAAAUGCAUUUUCGGCGUUCCUUCCGGUCUACUGCUCGGCAACGUCGUCAGUCGCGACGGCAUACGACCAAACCCUUCAAAAGUCAAAGCCGUACUCGACAUGCGACCACCGAAAAACGUCAAGGAUAUUCAGAAGCUAACCGGAUGCAUGGCCGCCCUCAGUCGUUUCAUCUCAAGGCUGGGAGAAAAAGGCCUCCCUUUCUUCAAACUAUUGAAAGCGUCAGAAAAAUUUUCUUGGACAGAGGAAGCCGACGCUGCGUUCACUCAGCUUAAGACCUUCCUCACUUCACCACCUGUCCUCACAGCGCCUCAGCCCAAUGAAGACCUACUCCUUUACAUUGCUGCAACCGACAGGGUUGUUUCCACGGCAAUAGUGGUCGAGCGAGAUGAACCAGGUCACGUCUUCAAGGUCCAGAGACCCGUUUACUUCAUAAGCGAAGUCUUAAACGAGUCCAAGGCCAGGUACCCACAAAUACAGAAGCUUAUAUACGCCAUCCUGAUAACGUCAAGAAAGCUGAAGCACUACUUCGACGGCCAUCGAGUCCUGGUGACAACCAGCUUUCCUCUCGGGGACAUCCUGCGCAAUAAAGACGCCAAUGGCAGAAUCGUGAAAUGGGCAAUGGAAUUAUGUCCAUUUUCCCUGGAGUUCCAGAGUCGCACUACUGUCAAGUCUCAAGCCCUGGUCGAUUUCAUUGCCGAAUGGACGGAUCUCAACGAGCCUUCCGUUCCCGAUGUCUCAGACCACUGGUCAAUGUUCUUUGACGGGUCCUUGAACAUCAACGGUGCAGGCGCUGGGAUAUUGUUCGUAUCACCCAACAAGGACAAACUCCGUUACGUCCUUCGGAUCCUUUUUCCGGCGUCAAACAACGUCGCCGAAUACGAAGCAUGCUUGCAUGGCAUACGACUAGCCGUUGAACUGGGGGUCAAGCGCCUCUAUGUCUACGGCGACUCCGCUUUGGUCAUCAACCAGCUCAACAAGGAGUGGGACGCAACCCACGAGAAGAUGGAUCUCUACUGCAAAGAAAUUCGCAAAUGGGAAACUAACUUCUAUGGCAUAGAGUACAUCCACGUGGUCCGGGAUAAGAACCAAGCAGCAGAUGCGCUGUCAAAGUUAGGCUCAUCUCGGGCCCAAAUCCCGCGGGGUAUUUUCGUCCAAGACAUCCAUGAGCCGAGCGUAAGCUCCCCCCUGGUCGACAAGCAACCCACCGAGGCAAUGCUCAUAGAUGACGCCACUCCGACAACCGGUGGACGUGACUGGCGUACCCCGUUCAUCAAAUACAUAUCAGACGGGACAGGCUUUCAGGACAAAGCAGAGAACGAGCGCCUCAUCCGACGAUCAAAGAACUACAUCCUGGUCGACGGAAAACUCAUGCGAAAAAACGCAAGCUCCGAAGUACUGCUCAAGUGCAUACCCCAAGAUGAUGGUAUCAAGCUCUUGGAGGACAUACACGCUGGAUCCUGCGGCAAUCACGCCGCAUCUAGAACGCUGGUCGGAAAGGCUUUCCGAGCAGGUUUUUAUUGGCCAACCGCGGUCGGCGACGCAGAAAAACUGGUUCGGCAUUGCGAAGGAUGUCAGUUUUUCGCUAAGAGGACCCACGUACCUGCCCAUGAAAUUCAAACCAUCCCGUCGUCUUGGCCCUUUGCUUGCUGGGGGCUUGACAUGAUCGGACCAUUUAAACCAGCCCCGGGCAAUUUCAAGUUUGUCUUCGUGUUAAUCGACAAGUUCUCCAAGUGGAUUGAAUACAUGCCCCUGGUCAAGGCAACCUCCGAGAAGGCUGUGGAGUUCCUCAAUCAAAUCAUACACAGAUUCGGCAUCCCGAACAGCAUAAUCACCGACCUGGGCACUCAGUUUACUGGCACCACUUUUUGGGAUUUCUGCGAUGACAGAGGCAUAGUCAUAAAAUAUGUGUCAGUGGCACACCCACGUGCCAACGGUCAAGUCGAACGUGCUAACGGAAUGAUCGUUGACGCCCUAAAGAAAAGGCUGUACACCGAAAACGACAGAGCACCCGGUCGAUGGAUGAAAGAAUUGCCGGCAGUGGUCUGGGGCCUCCGAACCCAGACCAGUCGAAACACAGGGGUGUCUCCCUACUUCAUGGUGUACGGUGCAGAGGCGGUCCUGCCGUCUGACAUACACUUCGGAUCUCCUAGAAUCGAGCACUUCGACCAGGCGACCGCCGACAACGCCAGAGAACUCGAAAUCAAUUGCAUGGAGGAAAAGCGUUUAGUUUCAUGUCUCCGAACAGCAAAAUAUCUCGCGGCAGUCAGGCGGUACUACAACAGGAACGUCAAGGACCGUUCCUUCGCGGUCGGCGAUCUGGUGCUUCGAUGGAAAACAAGCCAGGAGGGAAUGCACAAGCUAUCCACUCCCUGGGAAGGACCCUUCGUGGUGACCGAGGUCACACGACCUACGUCCUUCAGAUUGGCAUACCCAGACGGAACACGGGUGCCUAACUCUUGGCACAUCGACAAACUGCGACGUUUCUAUCCAUAAAGUUUUAAUGACUUUCUUUUGUAAGUAUCUUAUAAUUUUUGAUAAUGAAAUUCUCUAUUUUUUGCCUAUACCUUGUCACACACAGCACUCGGCAAAACUCCUGCAAUGGAUGCUCUUAGCGACAACCAAGACAAAUACGGUGACACGUCACUCAGAUAUUUUUACAGCGCUCAAAACAACAGUCAUGACAAAAAGUAAACUUUAUUACAAACUUUACAUACAAAGUUUACAAUAAAUACCCUGACGGGCAGACACUAGUCUAUUCCUACAGACUACUUUAUUGGCCUAGCUGCUCGGGCUGAUCACCCGCCUGGCCCUGCUGCCCGGACGAAGGGGUCGGGGCCACCAGCGCCUGGCUGGUCGAGACCGCAGGCGUCGACCGCCCAUCUCCCGCAACGGACGCGCCCGACAACUCCCUGGCCGACCUAUCUGCACUCGGCUGGUCUGGAGGAGUGGCCGUUCCGCACAGAUUGAUGUCGCCGAUCACUGUCGACGACAAGUCCAGCAGACUACCCCGAAGCUCGUCCGCGUCCUGCGGGCCGACUUCCUUCGGGUACCCCUUCUCCAGCCUGCUCAAGUCGACCAGGGGGUAGUGGGCGCGCACCAUGCUGAGGACGUGCGCGCCGGCAAACUCCCCGGCGUCCUUCACAAACUGCUGGAGCCAGUCCCACGCCCGUUGCGCCUUCUCGACCGGGGUCAACUGCGGCGCGCGGGGCUGGCUCUCCGGGAGCUCGGGACUGAUCAGGUCUAGGACCGGGGACACUCCUUUCCAGAUCCUGCAACAGUUGACCUUCCAGGAGUCCCGGUCCUUGGUCAGAUCGUCCAGGUGCUUUUUGGCGUUCACCUUGAGCACUGCAAACGAAACGAAGCGUUAUUUUCGGCAUAAAAAAGGGGCAGGCAGUAACCAACAAGGCGGCAACCAUUACCAGAUAGCUCCCGGUCUUUUCGACCCAAUUCCUCUCCUGCUCGCCGCCCGGACUCCAGCGCACCGGCGAGCUGUUGGCUGAGCUGCUCCUUCUCUUGUCGGAGGCUCGCCACCUCCUCCUCCAAGUCUGCGUGAAUCCUAAGCUGGUCAGCAAAGCAAACUAUACAAGUACGCGAAGCUGCUCGGAGCGUGUGACUAACCUUCUUGCAGCCGGUACUGGUCGGCCAAACGACGAGCGAGGUCGAGACGACGCUCCUUUUCGGCACUCAUCUCGACCACCUUCUCCCCGACCUCCGCCCGCAACCGGUCUACCUCCGCGGCAAGGGCCUUGUUCUCGGCCAUGACGCCUUCUAUCUGGUCAAAGCACCGUUUCCGGUACUUCGCCGUUUUCAUUGCGUCCUGCAAAGCAAGCAUAUAACGACCAUGCAAGACAAGGCAAAAGAAUGUGCAGCAGUACAAAAAGCCGCUUACCUUGACUUCGUCGACGAGGCGCUUGGCCGCGCGCUCCACCCUGGCGGCCUCUUCGGUCUCGGCGAGCUCCUCAUGCCCGAUAAAGUGAUCCCCGCGUUGGCGCCACACAUACACGUGUUGGCGGCCAUCACGGGGACGACCCUCGAUCUCUUCCACCUCAUCAUCGGAGGCCGCCCGGGUUUCCUCCUCCUGUGCUGCGUCACCCCCGGUGGUGGUCCCAGGUAUUACUGGCCCUUGGACCAGACCUGGGGAGCCCGCAGCCGAAGAGGCUCCUGCUCGGGGCGGUGUGGGGACUUCACUCCUCCCGGCAGGAGGAGCGGUCGAAGAUCUCCCCUUCUCUGAGGAGUCAGUUGGGGGAGCCUCUCCAGCCCUGGUCGGGCUGCUUGUCGUAGUCGGUGCCGCGCUCGGGAGCUCCUCGGUGCUCCCAGGCGCGACUGCAGCUGUUGCCUGCUCUGUGGUCUGGGGGGCCGCAUCCCCAGAACCGCGGGCAGGCUCGCCCGUUCCCUGGCCGGCAGUUUGGCCGGGGUCGACAUCCGAUGCCGUACUACAGGAACAAAAGUUAAAAAAAAAAGUCAAAGAGGAGUUCAAAAUACGUAAGUCGAACACUUACAGGUCUGACCGACGGUGGGUCGCGGUGAACCUCCUCCUCGCCCGGCCGGUCGGCACCUGCGCCCCCGUCUCGACAACUUGCGGUGCAGGGGCGCCGCUGGCCACUCGAUCAGUAGCGGCCGGCGCAUUAUCUGGGCGACCCCGGGGCCGUCGGACCAACGACGGCGCAGCCUCCUCGUCGUCGUCGUCGUCGUCAACGAUCCGCACGAGCCGACGACGCUUCGGUGCUUGGCUGCUCUCUGCCGGAAGAUCCGCCGGCAGCUCCGGUGUCGGCAAAGGAUCUGCCGGCAAUGGCCUCUUCCCCGCUACCCUCUCCUCGGAGGUCGGGACGAGGCGGGCUUGGUCUUCCUCACUGCUGGUGUAAUGAGUACACCGAGCAGCGUCUUCCUCUGGCGGGACCUCUCCCGCAGGAUUUUCCAUCCCCGGUGCCAGUGAUACAUACACUGUGCACCGGUCAGCAUCGCCGAUCUGCAAAAGCAACAGAGAUGAGUCAACUGCAGACGAUAUACAAAUGCUAAAACAGAAUCUGCUACAUACCUUUGGUGCUGGUCGUCCUAACUUGAAGGCUUGCACCCGAUCACUGCCACGGAUGAAGCCCCCAUCCGCGAAGUUAAACAGCUCGUUCAACAGCUGUUGUACCUCCACUUUCUCCAAGAUCUCCGACCGCAUCCUAGUCGGGUCUGCGCUUCCGGCAUACUCGUACGCCGAGUGCACCCUCUUCUGGCAGGGCAUCACCCGGCGGCAAAUGAAGUUGCCGACCACGCCAAGCCCGUCCAGGCGCGACCAGUCGAUCAGCUUCAUGAGAUCCGCCACUGGACCGUCGAACUCCGGGCGGUCGGUCCAGCUUGUCCUCUUCUCAGGAAUGUAUCCCACGUCGCAGAACGUGGAGCUGCCCGGUUCCUCCCUGAUGUAGAACCACUUCCUGUACCAUUCGGUCAAGGAAGUGUUCCAUGGGCAGUGCAGGUAGCGAUUCUUCAUUCCAUCACGAAGGUUGAGGUAUACUCCACCUGCAACCUUGGAGCCUCCAACUGCUCCCUUCUUCCUCAAGCAGAAAAGAUACCGGAAAAGAUCGAAGUGCGGCUCUAUGCCAACAUAGGCCUCGCACAGGUGGAUAAAGGUGGAAAUGAGGAGAAUUGAGUUCGGGUGCAGAUUGCAAAUCCCGAUCUCAUAAUACAAAAGAAGACCUUGAAGAAAAGGAUGAACAGGAACACCAAAACCCCUCUUAAUGAAAUCUUCAAAUACGACGAUCUCACCGGCGCGAGGGUCGGGGUAGCUCUCCCCCUCCGGUGCCCUCCAGCCGCCGAGCUCCGGGCCGUGCAGAAGCCCCAUAUCGACGAGGUCACCAAGGGAUUUUGUGGUGCUGCGAGACUUCUUCCACUCCUUGGCCAUCAGUUCGGCCCUCUUCCUGGAGUCGCUCUUCGCCAUUAGAGGUGCGAAUGUGGGCUUGAGUUAGGAAGAUGCAGGAGAUUGGAGAAGAUGAGAGCGGAAGGUUUGAAGGCAAUGGCAGCGAAAGCGGUACAGGCGGACCUAUUAGGCUCUUAUAAGCCCGCAACUCCACCUCUCCCACUUCCUGUAUUCUCGGGAAGUGGGCAGGCCAUGCGGCGGACGCGGCGUUUCGGUUUACAAUGAUUAUAGACAAUUAAUGCGGCGGAGUUUUCGUACCAAUUGAUGGUUUCCUUUUCUCAAACCAUGCAAAGGGCGGCUGUACAGUUGUCAGGUGCAACUUUUCAUGCAUCCGUCUGACACCCCGUCAGGAGGCCUCGUCACGUCAACUUUAACUGGAAAGAUCUUUUCAAAAAUAAGAAGACACAUACGCCAGUGAGUCAACAAUCCGGGGACUGCACCGACCACCGAGCACUCGACGCUCGGGGACUGGUCGCCCAGUCUAUCAGCUCGGAACUUCAAGGACUGCACCGACCACCGAGCACUCGACGCUCGGGGACUGGUCGCCCAGUCUAUCAGCUCGGAACUUCAAGGACUGCACCGACCACCGAGCACUCGACGCUUGGGGACUGGUCGCCCAGUCUAUCAGCUCAAAGCUUUAAAGCAUGCACCGACCACCGAGCACUCGACGCUCGGGGACUGGUCGAACGGUAUAGCAACAUAUAAUUCCAAAGAGCACACUUAGUGCUUGGGGACUGGUCGAUUGGUCUUUUCAUUUGCAGACGAGCACGACAUGCUCGGGGACUGGUAAAUUCACUUUUGACCUUGCUACAAGGCUCAUACUUCGCCUUCCAGCAAGCUCGGGGACUACAUCGGUACGAUGCAUCUAGCGAUGCAUCUCAGUCUCAAAACUACUUUGGGGAAUUUUCUUUUGACCCUGGCACCACGUGCCUACGUCACCUACUACCAGGCUCGGGGACUAAGUGGGCACACUUCACCUAGCGGUGAAUUUGCUUGCUUUUUUGAUGUUUAUACCUUUCAAAAAGGUAAAGUGGGCACACUUCAUCAGGAAAGAAAUUUUUUUUAAGAGCACCAUGCAUUCUUCGAACAACCUGCUUCUUCGAUGUCAAUGUUGAUCAACUGUCUUUUGAGUUGGUCAAAAUACCGUUGCAACUGUUCGGACGACUUUCCUGCUUAUUGAAGACGUCAAGCCACACUGAUCGAAGAAGCUCAAGACGGCGUGUUACAUCACAAUACAUGGUGCUCGGGGACUAGCUGUGGGGGUAUAAACCCCUAUACCCUUACGGCUAGACUUCGGCCAGGAAGCUUGGCCCAGUACGAGACGAGUUCAAGGCUUGAUCCGACAACCUGGAGUUUCGCGCAAGGAAACAAGAUGGGGAGAUCAAGCAGGAUUCUAGUCGGUUAGAAUAGGAAUUGAUAUCGAAUUAUCCAUGACAAUUGUAACCGACUAGGAUUAGUUUCCAGAUCUGUAACCCUGCCCUCCGGACUAUAUAAGGAGGGGCAAGGGACCCCCCUAGGACAUCAUAUUCUCUCAGCACAAAUCAAUACAACCAGACGCAGGACGUAGGUAUUACGCCAACUCGGCGGCCGAACCUGGAUAAAAAGCUUGUCCGUGUCUUGCGUCACCAUCGAGUUCGUAGUUUGCGCACCGUCUACCGAUAAACUACUACCGAGGGUAUACCCCAAGGUAGACUGCCGACUAGCUUUCGUCGACACCAGCGUUUCUUCUCUUUGGCAAACAAACUUUGACACAAUCAGCACUGUACUCACCCCGGCCUCCAGGAAGAGACCUGCCCAAUAACCCAUGAGCGAGCAAGCAUAGCAUACAAUUGAAGCAAGGUUAUUCAUUGUUUUUUCUUCAAAACAGAUAGAGUUGCAUGUUUUCCAAAUGGCCCAACAAAUAGCUGUGAUGCCCAAGGUGUGAAAUUGCUUUCGAGUUGGGAUCCAACACUCAGACCAAUUCCAACACUAGUAAAAAGAUUUAGGGAUGCUAUUAGCACCAAUUGCAUAAGCGACAAUAGCCUAUACCGCUUUGGCUGUGGAACAUUGGAAAAACAAAUGUUUGUUCUCAUCAGUGUUACAAAAAUAACAAGUAGGGUAACAAAACAUCUUAAUUUGAUCAAGUUGUCUUUUGUGAGAAUAGCAUUAUUCAUAACAAGGCAUAGGUAACUUUUGAUUUUGGAGGGAAUUUUCCCCUUCUAGAUUCUUCUAUGAUAAGGCCCAAUACCACUAGUUACCACGGCUCUAUAAGUAGAUUUGACACUAAAUCGUCCAUUAUUACCAAAUUUCCAAAUCAUAGAAUCCUCUCCACGUGCAAUCAAUCUGCCUCAAGAUAUUUAGCCAACAAAGCCUAAGGUCAUCAAUAAGCUAUCUAGUGAAAGUCACAUUACUAGAAUCAAAAUUUACAUGAUGAACCCAAAUAUUAGGUUGUUCACACAUUUUGAAAAGAUCAGGGAAUAGAUGGCUCAAAGCUUUAUCAUAAAACCAAGCAUCGUUUCUGAAAAGAGUUUUCCUUCCAUCCCUUACUUUUACUUGUCUACCUUGGAGAUAGACAUCCAUGAUUCUUAAUAGAUCAACCCACAUGGCAGUCAGGUUGCCUGUGAUUCAUAGUACAAAAAGAUUUACCAUUUAAAUACUUAUACUAAAUGAUUUGCUGACCCAUUUCCCCUCUCCAAUUUCCACCACCAUUCAUCUUUCUAAUAUUUUUUAUCCCCAGGCCUCCUUUUUUUCUUAUGCUUACAGAUUUAACUCAUUUAACAAGAUGAUAUUUCAUUUUUGUGCCUCCUCCUUGCUAGUCCAGCUUAUCAAUGAUGGUUUUAGGAAGAAGGUAAAUAGACAUAUGAUAGAUUGAGGCAUUAUUUAGACUAGAAUUGGUCAGAGUUGAUCUACCAGCUAUUGACAUGGAACCCCCUUCCCAUACAUCAAGUCUCUUGGCACUUUUCUAUUCUUUUAUAUUGACUUCUAUGGAUCCUUUUAUUGAAUAUUUUUUGGAGCUGCAAUUUCAAAUCGGCCAAUAUAAAGUUUUAGAUCCCGUCAAACACUAUAAUAUUGGUAUAGAGUAUGUAUUACCAAGUUCGUUUGAAAAAUUCAAGGACAUGAAUUUAAAAAAUCUAUAAACUGAAAAAGUUAUAUUUGAAUCUGAUCUCAAAUAACAAAGGUUAUUGGCUAGAAAGCUUAUCGAGCUUUACAAUCUGAUGACAAAACUUGUCUUUUUCUGAUUUUAUUUGAAAAAAUUAUAAAUCUAUUUUUGUACAACGACUCUCUUUAGAGACAUAUGCCACCAUGCUAAUAACAUCUAUAAGUCGAUUUGUAUACACCAACCCUCUUUAGAAGCUAGUACCUCCAUUUUCAAGGACAAUCGGCGUUACCAACCAUCCCUAGGACUGAUUACAAUCCAGAGCAUCCUUCACCAAACGUUUGUAAAUUGCCUCAAAACUAAGAAAAGAAAAAUACUGUUUGUCUGGGGCUCUGGGCUAUCCAGGGCGCUGCAUUCAUUUGUACUAGCAGAAAUGGAAUAUAUAUAUAUAUAUAUAUAUAUAUAUAGAGGUAAAUUACUUUUUACACGCACGAGUAUCUACUCCGACGUAGCUACACGCGUGAAUUCUUCCCUCUCGCACGGAGCAGGAGCGGGAUUUCAUACCGGAUCAACCCGUUAGUCGUGGUACCUCUCUAUUAUUUUGGGCAGACCCGUGGAAGAAACCAUUUUAAUUUCCUGUUUCUUUUUUAUGCGUCGUCCAGCAGCCUCCCAUCCAUGGAUCCACCGGCGGCGGCGCAAACCUCCUUCCCACCGGCGUCGGCGAGCCUCGCCCUCAACAGCCGCGGCGGGCCUCGCCCCACCCCCAUCGGCGGCAGCACGGUCAGGUCAGCGCGCUCGGUGGCCCUCCUCCUCUAGCAGAUCCAGUCGCGAGCGGCUCGCCUCGUGCCGUCGUGCGGAUGCGACUCGUCUGUGGUGCGGCUCCACCGCAAGCCAACGACGGCAGUUGCCUCUUUCCCUAGCGGAUCCACCGCACAAGGCUCGUCCUCUUCAUCAACUAUGGCGUCAGGGCUCCAUCCCACCACUGAUGGCGGCUCCGGCAUCAGCGGGCAGGCAGCCUUUGGCUGGCGGCAUGGCCAUCGGCGACUGGGGACAGAUCAGGUGGUGCUGACCCUCUUCCCUGAUCAAUGGUGGCCUUCCUUCCUCUGGCUACUACAGCGACCCUUCCUAUGCCAUGGUCUUUUUGAUGCAGGUGCCUUCCUAUGCUAUCGUGUGGCUGCAGCAAGUAUGAAUAUGCACCUCAUCUAACAUAUACUGUGUUUUGUUUUUCUUCAUGCGUUAUGUUUUUGUUUUUGCCUUUUGGAUGCCGAGCGUAGAGAUGGAUCGAUGUUCCACAAUCAUAGUUCAUGCCCACAAAUUUUAAUGUUUUCUGCUGCCUAUAUAUAUCUCGACUUUCUCAUGAAAUUGAAUCUAGCUGCAGAGAGCCAGAGAUGGAGCAGCAAAGGUUUCUGUGCAGUUUAUUUUUUAUUUUUAAGCUUCUUGAGCCAGCAACAUAUGUAUUCGUAUCAAAGUAAACAUGUAUGUACUCAUACUCCAUAUAACCAUGUAUAUAGUUUCAUACUCACAAAGAUGUAUAUACUCAUACUCCCACUGUAUAUGUAUAUGUAUAUGCUCAUAUUCCUUUUGUCUAAUUUGAUGCUUCUAUGUUGACGGAAAUACACAUCAAAGAAAUUUAGCAUGCAGGCAUAUAUGGUGGGUGUCCUCGCUAAUCUCAUGUCAUAGUAUCAGUUACUGUAUGUAUUUAUGUAGUUCAUUUACAGGUCUUGCAAGUUUGGAAUGAUGUAAUGUCAUAUUCUUAUACUCGUUUGCAUAUAUCCAUACUCAAGUUGUUCUCUGCCCACACGUAUGUAUCCAUACUCACAAUAAACAUGUAUGUACUCAUACUCCAUAUAAACAAGUAUGAUUUUCAUACUCAUAAACAAGUAUGAUUUUCAUACUCAUAAACAAGUAUGUUCUGCAUGGCGUAUGUACUAAUACUCUGCCAAAAAAAGUUCUCCACAAACGUACCAAUUUUUGUCCUCGAAAAAAUUAUCUGUGAAAAUACAUACUCUAUAAGAUAAACAUUAAAGUAAUCCUCUGUAUAUGGACAUACUCGAAAUACAAGUGUGCGUCCAUACUCUAUUAAAGUAUACUCAUUUUUUCUUAUUAAAGUAUGCGUUCAUAUUAGAGUAUACUCAAUUUUCUUAUUAAAGUAUGCGUUCAUACUUUACUUGCAGAAAAGAACGUCUGUGAACAAUUGAAUCGCUUUCUUCGUAAUACUUAUCCGGCUAGGCGCUCCCCUAAUUAUUUAUUAAAUAAUAAUAAUAAUAUUCACGUACAACCUGUAUACAUGCAGUUCGCGUAGAUCUUGGAUACCAUAUACAUACUCGUGCUUCGAACCCGUUAGAUCGCUAAUGGGCCGCACCACCCGACGCCAGCUACGUCUGCGGGAUGGCUCGACCCUCCGAUGCGUAUAAUAAAGGCUCAGAGUAGUUACUGGUACGUGUAGAAAAAAAGUGUCAUAUAUAUAUAUAUAUAUAUAUAUAUAUAUAUAAAUUUUCUCUACUUCUUAGGAGUAGUUACUCUCUCUUCUAAAACACAGUAUUAGAUGCCGCACUCCCCUAUCGGGUCACAAAGUCGAACCCGGUAAGUCACAUAUACGUGGACAAACUAUACUCCGGUUAUUCAGUCAUCGAGGAAGCUAAAUCACGUAUACAACGGUGGACAAACUGUUCUCCGGUAUUUCAGCCAUCGAAGAAUUGUUGUUUAAUCAUUAUUAUCCAUUUUCCUUUUCUAGAUUAGAGUAUCAUCUUAUAUGCGUUAAACUAUUUCUACUAGUACAUAGCCAUACACGUAUUGGGAGUUGAUGUGUAUGCAAGUACGCUCAUUGUCUACUAGUACGUAUAAAGAAAGAUGGCCAUACACAUACUCCUAUUGGUACAUGGACGUACGUAACAUAAUUGUACAGGUAUGCAUGCAUACUUCUAUACAUUUAGGUAUAUGGACAUACUUCCUAAUAAAAUACUAUGUACACAUACUCUCCUGUGAAAAAAGUAUAUACAUAUACUCUGAGUAUAAAUACAUACAUGCUUCUAAUUAAUAGUAUAAAUACAUACUCUAAUUAGCGGGCAUACUCCUGAAAUAUGCGUAUGUGAGCAUACUGUGAGUGUGCAUAUGUGAACAUGUAUUUGAACAAAAAAAGGUAUGUCUAUAUACUCUGAAAGUGUGCGUAUGUGAUCAUACUUUAAUUAAUAUACUUAAUAAGUAAUAAUGUAUGUAUAUAUAUAUAUAUAUAUAUAUAUAUAUAUAUAUAUAUAUAUAUAUAUAUAUAUAUAUAUAUAUAUAUAUAUAUAUAUAUAUAUAUAUAUAUAUAUAUUCCUUUGUACACGUACGUGUAGUUACUCUCAUCUUCAAUAAACUACAUUGUGUAUGUAUUCAUACUUUUUUAUCAGUUUGAGUAUGUUUGUAUACUUAUAUUAAGAUACUUUAGAUCUUACCACGCGAAAUUUUUUUAAAAAAAAUUAUAUUUUAAAUAUAUUACUAAAAUGCCACUACUAUAUUAUAUACAAUAAGUAUAUCCAUAUACUCUAUGUAUGUAUACGUUAUAUAUAUAUAUAUAUAAACGUACGGCCCUAUAUUGGCCGUAUCGAGUAAUUACUCAACGCUUCUCCUAAUUGGCCGUAUCGAGUAAUUACUCGUAUAAAAAACUCACCAUAUAUAUAUAUAUAUAUAUAUAUAUAUAUACUACAUAAACGUACGGCCCUUUUUUUUUAAAAAAAAAAAUAUCCAACCGAUCAACCUGCUUGAUCCGCUUUCUAUGGUCAGCAUGCAUCACCCGUUUUUUUUCUCUCACCCGCUAGCUACUCAACGCUUCUCCUAAUUGGCCGUAUCGAGUAAUUACUCGUAUAAAAAACUUAUAUAUAUAUAUAUAUAUAUAUAUAUAUAAGUCAAAAGUGAGCAGAAAAAAUACUGAGCAAUACUAAACAACAUUCAGUAUCAUCUAGUCGUACACCUAGGACCGCGAAAUACUGAAACACGAGUACUUAACAAUACUGAAUUUUGUUCAGUAUAACAUUUUGGUGUAGAAUAGCACUUGUGUGUAUAUAUAUAUAUAUAUAAUAAUAAUAAAGCACAAUUAUUUAUCUUCCUUUUGCACUAUGUAACAAUCUUGGGUCAAUGGAACCAUGAAUGCAUUCCUCCCGUCUCGUCUUUCAUGCCUCGUCGGAUCGGGGAAUCAGGUCAUGUCCUAUUCUGCGUCCGCCAACACCUUUUUCCUUGCAUCUGCACUGCACUGCACUGCUACGUACAGCGUGUGCUAUAAGCAGCAGAGGGAGUUUCUUCGAAAUUCUAUGUUCUGAUAAAAUGUGUCUCACAAAGUUGUAGGGCAGUAUAUCAGAUGCCCCGAUGCGCUCAUUAUUGGGAGUGUGUGUGAUCUGAAAGUAGGCUCUAGAAACAUCAGUGGAAAGAGCCAAAGAUUAGCAUAGACAAUUAUAUUCUUUCCGCACAAAGAAACAUCAUAUAUUAUACACAUACGUGGAAAGAAAUAUGAAAUUUAUUUUGGUUCCAAACUAGAACUUGUUUGGCUACAUUCAAAUAUACCCCGAUUUUACAUAGUUUGGGAGGAACUGAAUUGUUAUGAGUUAAACUCAUUAUGUUCAAGUAAAAAUAAAAAAAUGUUUGGUUCAACCUACUCCCCAGUUCCAAAAUAGGGCCUUGUUUACUUCCCAGAAAAUUUUGCAAAAUUUUUCAGAUUCCCCGUCACAUCGAAUCUUUAGACGUAUGCAUGGAGUAUUAAAUAUAGACGAAAAUAAAAAUUAAUUGCACAUUUUGGUCGGAAUUGACGAGACGAAUCUUUUGAGCCUAGUUAGUCUAUAAUUAGACAAUAUUUGUCAAAUACAAACGAAAGUGCUACAGUGUUCAUUUUACAAAAAAUUUUAGAACUAAACAAGGUCUUGGUGACAUUGCUUCCCGUAGAGUCAAACUCUUUUAACUUGACCAAAUAUACUACAUAAUUAAUAUCAUUUUUCAUAAUAAACUUAUUUGAAGAUAUAAGUGUUGCUAAUAUUUUUUAUAAAUCUAAUUAAAUUUUAAAAAAGUUUGACUGAUAUGAAUACCAUAACAACACUUAGUUUGAGACGGAGAAAGUACACACUAGUCAGUACACAUCACCAUCACCGCCAACUCAACAUUGGUCUCGAGUGUUUAUUUGAGCCAUAUAUGUAAGCUUCCCCAUAGAGAUUUUUUGGAGCUAUGUACAAAAAAAAAUGUAAUAUGUACCAUUCAUCGACAGAGAUGGAACGAUGAAAAAAAAAAUCAAAAGCACUAAGAAAAAGAUAAAACUAAAAGUGGCUAAAGUAUUGAUAGCACUUUUCAACCACCGUAACAAAGACUAAUAGUGCCAUGUGGAUACAUCCUUAUUCCAUAAUUUUUUUGGUUGAUGAGCUAUAUGAACUCUGGCCAUUCCGAUCGUCAGAAGGACUAGGGAAUUUUUAAAAUCCUUAUGCAUCCUACAUAUAGGAUAUGCAUAGUAAUUUGAUUUAUUAAAAUGUGCUCGACUAGGUGGCAGCCUCUUGUGCGUGGCCUAGUGCCGCGGCCGCAUCCGAUCCGCCGAGUACCGGCAAAUCUGCGUGGGCCAGGCCAAUAAUGCGAGGCCCUAGCUACCGGCGUGUUACAUGCAUAUUGCACUGAUCAUGACUGAUUUGGUCUGUACUAGCAGGCAGCUCAGGCCUUCUUUAGUAGUUCCAAAAAAUUUUGUAAAAUUUUUCAGAUUUCCCGUAACACCGAAUUUUUAGACAUAUAAAUGAUAUAUUAAAUAUAGAUAAAAAAAUUAAUUGCGCAGUUUGGUUGGAAUUAACGAGACAAAUCUUUUGAGCCUAGUUAGUCCAUGAUUGGAUAAUAUUUGUCAAAUACAAACGAAAAUGCUACAGUAUCGAUUUUCUAAAAUCUUUUAGAACUAAACAAGGCCUCACCCAAAAGCCAAAAUGUUUUUAAGAUUUUUUGUUAAAUUGAAUGUUACAGUACAUAUAUGAAGCAUUAAAUAUAAACGAAAAUAAAAAAUAAUUAUAUAGUUUUCCUGUAAAUUGUGAUAUGAAUAUUUUAACCUUAGUUAGUCUAUCAUUGGAAAAUAUUUACUACAAAUAAACAAAAAUACUAUAGUAACAAAUAACUUUUCGUUUCGGACAACUGAACAAGACCUUAGUAGAGAGCACAGUAAUCAUGCGCUUUUUGACGUUCACUGUUUUGAGUUUCCUCUGCUUUUGAGAAAGCCGUAAAGGGGCUAUUUAGUUAAGCCGUGUUUAUAAGAUUCUCCGUCACAUCAAAUCUUGUAACACAUACAUGACGCAUUAAAUAUAGACGAAAAUAAAAACUAAUUACACAGUUUGCCUGUAAAUCGCGAGACGAAUCUUUUGAUAUUGGAUAAUAUUUGCCACAAACAAACGAAAGUGCUAUAGUAGCAAAAUCCAAAAUUUUUUCGGAUCUAAACAAGGCCUUAGUGAAAAAUUUUGUAAAGUGUAAACGUAGUAUUUUUGUUUCUAUUUGAUAAUUAUUAUUCAAUAUGAAUUAAGUAGACUUAAAAAAUUCGUCUCGUAAAUUACACGUGAAGUAUGCAAUUAAUUAUUUUUUAUCUAUAUUUAAUGUUCUAUAUAUGUGCCGUAAGAUUUGAUGUGAUCUAAAGUCUCGAAAAAAUUUGCAAAAUUUUUGGAACUAAACAGCCCAAAGUUAUCUGUCAAGGUACAGUGGGACACCAGCUUACGCGAAAAAUAUUACAGGUCUUAAUCAUACACUAUCCUGUCACAAUUACAUUCCACCAAAUAUCUGUAACAGGGCAGGUAGCUGGUUUGAAGCCUUUCAUCUAGUCGAAGACGAGAUCUCCUUGAUCUCAUCCACGCUUUCUUUCAACUUUGGCUUAAGUAGGAGAGACCACUUCUACAAAAAAUGGUAGAGUCGAAAACAUGACGUGAGAAGGGUUGUUCGGUAAAUUCUUCUGAAUUGCCAUCUUCUUUCUAGCACUUCUAAUUUAGGCCUUAUUUAGUUUGUAAAAAUUUUCAAGAUUCUCUGUCACAUCGAAUUUUUGGUCACAUGCAUGGAGCGUUAAAUAUAGACGAAAAUAAAAACUAACUGCACAGUUUAUCUGUAAUUUGUGAGUUGAAUCUUUUGAGUUUAGUUACUCCGUGAUUGGACAAUGUUUGUCAAAUAAAAACGAAAUACUAGAGUAGCCAAAAACAAAAAAUUUUGCGAACUAAACAGGACCUUAGGCCCUGUUUAGUUCUCCACCCAAAAAUUUUUCAUCCAUCCCAUCGAAUCUUUAGACACAUGCAUGGAACAUUAAAUGUAGAUAAAAAAAUAAACUAAUAACACAGUUUAGUUGAGAAUCGCGAGACGAAUCUUUUAAGCCUAGUUACUCCAUGAUUAGCCUUAAGUGCUACAGUAACCCACAUAUGCUAAUGAUAGAUUAAUUAUGCUUAAUAAAUUUGUCUUGCAGUUUCCUGACGAGCUAUGUAAUUUGUUUUUUUAUUAGUCUGUAAAAACCCCUCCCGACAUCCUUCCGACAUAUCCGAUGUGACAUCCAAAAAAUUUUCGUUCCCAAUCUAAACAGGCCCUUAGUACAAUCGCAGCUUGUAGUUGCCAUGAAAAGACUUUGGGCCUGUUCCCUUCUAAUUUAAGUGGGUUGUUUGGGCUGCCGGCUGCCGCUGAACAGCCCAGCUGUUCGGCUGCAUGCCUGCAGCAUGUCCCGCUCCGUGCAGCUUCUUUCCUCUUGCUAUCUGCUGCAGCUUCUACAAUGUUGAUGGGCCGGGGUAGCUCCUGCAGCUGCAGCCAGCUGCCAUUUGAUUUUUAUAGAAAUCCUACAUUUUCAAAUACAAUUCAAACUCCUGCGUUUGUCGCCCAAUCGGCCAUUCCUACAAUUGCCCUGUACUCCGAUCUUCUUGAAAGGCGGUGUGAAUUCUCAAGUCCUCGAUCCUCGUCCUAUUUCAUUCUCGGUAGUCAAUGUUUGGGUUCGAACAUCAUGCCUUCCAGUUAAUUAUUCCAUCAAUUCCUGCCAUGGAUUCCUUUCACUCUCUUUAGACCAAUUUGCAGCCACCGUCGACACUGGCCUAUCGAUAUUCUGUACAACAAAUCAGAAAUAAGGAUGUUUUUUUUGAGGAAACUGGAGAGACCGAGGCCUCUACAGAGAGUUUAUUAAAACUGAAAGAACAAGUCAAUAGAGUACAAGAAGAGAGAAAAACAGCAAAGAGGUGCAGGCACCCUACAACUCAGGAAACAAAAAAGAAAACAAAAAAAUCAGCUCUAAACAUCUUGGACUUCUAGACUUUGUAUCCAUGAAGAAAACUGUGGUAAAAUGGAUGGCUUCACUCUAUGCUGCAGAAGAGAUAGCUCCUUUAGGAAGAUCCUUCGACAAUUCAAAAUGCUUAUCCGAACCCCAUUGAAGAUUAACUCGUUUCUCACAUUUCAAAUUGCCCACGAACGCAGAAUGAUAGCAUCCAAGGCAAAUGGGGAGGCCAACUGAUCUUUUAUUUGAGCAAAGAUGUCUGAAUAGUACACUGAAGAGGAAUGAUCACAUUGAUGAGGUCCCAACACAUAGCUGUGAAUGGACAGUCCAGAAACAAGUGCUCAAGUGUUUCUUCUAUCAGGCUGUUGCAAAAGACACAAUUGUAAGAAUCAAGCUGUAAAUUGCUCCUUCUGAGAAAGUUUCUGGUGCUCAGUCUAUCCUUGAUGAGAAGACAAAAGAAAACUUUGUGUUUCGGCUAGCAAUUACUUUUCCAAAGCCAUUUGUAGACUGGAUGAAGCACCGAGUGGCCAACCAGUAGGCGAUAGACCUUUGAGGGAGCAAAAUGGUCAGAGCCCCAACUGUAAAUCCACUUAUCUUGUCAUUGCUCAGCACAAUGCUCUCCAUGAUCUGCUGAACAUUCUGCAACUGCAAGAAGGCCGUCUGAGAGAGGGGGAGCUGAAAUAGGGAGGAGAGUUCAUCUUGUUCAAAGGCCCUUUUCACUGAGAUCUGCUUAUUGAGAGCAAAAGAGAAAAGCUUAGGGGAUGAAUCAAGAAGGAGUUGCUCAUUAAGCCUGGGCAUUCGGAUUACCUGAUUUUUUCGGGUCGAGUAGUUCGGGUAAUUUAAAAUUUGGGUAACAAAAAUUGUUACCCGAUAUUAGUAAAAAAAACACUACCCGCAAUUUCAGGUACCCGAUAAUUCGGGUUCGUGUUGGGGUAUUCCCGAUUUACCCAAAUUUUCAGAAAACAACACACUAUACAAAAUUUCAAUAGAAAUUUAUAUAUAAUUUCAGCAACAAUUUGUAUAGAAUUUGAAUAGCAUUUUGUAGAGAAUAAUAUAUUACUAUCAGUUGUUCAAACAAAGAGAAUUAUGUUCUAAUAAAUUGAUAAGUUUUAAUAUUUAACUAAUAACACAUGAUAAAUACAAAGAUAUAGACAAAUAUUUGGGUAAUUUGGGUAGUUCGGGUACCGGGGGAUACUACCCGAAUUACCCUGGGUAAUCAAAAUUGCUAUCCGAAUUUAGGAUCGGGUACCUCGGGUUCGGGUAAUUCGGGUCCGGGUCCAGGUAAUUCGGGUACGAGUAAUGGAUAUUGGGUAAUUUGCCAGGCUUAUUGCUCAUGCCAAGCAUCAUGCCAGAAAAAAGAGGAAUCCCCAAAAUGCAAUUGUGGCUUAGAAAAGCUUUUAAAGGCUUGAAGAAGCAUUGGGUUAUCUCUCCACUAGAAAGACCCCUUUUUAUGUGAUUUGGCAAUUUUUCAUUUAUAUAAUGCUUUUCCAAGAUUAGCUCAACCCAAGGAACAUCAGCCCUGUUGAAGAAUUUAUGCAGAUUUUUUUGAGAGGAGGGCAUUUUUCUGCUUCUCAAUGUCAAUGACACCUAGGCCCCCCUCAUCCUUUGGGGGCACAAACCAUCUUCCAAGUAGCUUUAGGCAUUCUCUUAGGAUUAAUAUCUGAUACCCUCCAUAGACAGUGCUCCCUAAAUUUAUCAAUCUGCUUGAUGACCCCCUUGGGCAAUUUCAGGGUGCACAUGAAGAAAGUUGGGAGGGCUGAAAACACAGCAUUAGUCAUUUGGAGCCUCCCAGCAAGGUUCAGAAAGCUUGAAAUACGAAAGAGUCUCUUCUCACAUUUAUUUAUCACUGGCAGAAAGUCUUAGGCCUUGGGUCUCUCUAUAUUAAGGGGGAGCCCCAGAUUGGUGAAGGGCAGACUCCCCUUGGAGCAUCCAAAAGUAGCAGCUAGGGUGUCUAACUUUGCAUCAGAAAGGUUUAUAGGGACCAUCAUGGACUUGUUGAAGUUAACUUUCAGCCCAGUAAACGUGGAGAAGCUGUUGAUCAGAUAUUUCAUGAAGAACAAUUGCUUGACAUCCCCUUCCAUUACAAUCAAAGUGUCAUCAGCAUAUUGGAUGAUAGGAAAGUCACUGGUAGAAUUCAGUGAGGAUAGGCAGCCUGAGCAAACCCAUUUGUAAGGCCUUGUUGAUCAUGGAUUGGAGGAAAUCUGCUGCAGUUACAAAAAGAAGGAGAGGGUCCCCUUGCCUGACACCCCUCUUGCAGUGAAUAGUUUUACUAGGAACACCAUUUUAAAGUACAGUAGAGGUCCCUGAGGAGAAGAUAGAGUCCGUCCAUUGUAAUCAUUUUUCUCCAAAGCCCAUGGCCCUCAUGAUUGUAAUCAUAACAUGGUGUUCAAUCUUAUCAAAAGCCUUCUCAAAGUCCAGCUUAAUGAUCACAAUCUCCUUCUUAGAGUGGUGGCAGAGAUGCAGAUAUUCAAAUGCCCAGCCCAGACAGACCUGAAUAGUUCUAGACUUGAUGAAUCCAUACUGAUUCUUAUGAACCAGGGAGGUGAUAUGCUGCUGAAGCCUGAUGGCCAGAAUUUUGGUGAUGAGUUUUAAUGAAGAAUUGAGUAAGGAGAUUGGCCUGAACUCAUUGAUCAAACAAGCAUUGUCCACCUUAGGAUUAAGGGUAAUAAAUGAGGAUUUGAUGCUUCUAAGGCAGACAGAUCCAUCAAAGAAGUCAUUACAGAGCUUAUAGAAGUCAUGCCUGAUAAUUGGUCAACAUCUUUUCAUAAAUUCAUUGUUGAAGCCAUCUGGGCCUGAAGAUUUAUCAUUUGGAAGACUUUUAAUCACUGAUUGAUUUCUUUUUCAAGACGACAGAUCAAUAUUCUUGUGCACAAAGAUACUAGGAUCAACCACAAAGCUGUUCAAAUCUGAGGUACCCAAUCUGUCCUUGUAAUCUUCCCACAACAUCUUUUCUUACCAGAGUGAUCAUUGACAAUAGAUCCAUCGGUCUUCAGGAGUUCCCUGAUAAGAUUACCUCUGUGCCUAAUGGUUGCAUUGGCAUGAAAGAGGUAAAAAAAGUUUUCUAUCUAACAUAGAGAGCCUGUUUGGUUCACAGACAUACUCCACCACACCACAUCUGAGAUGGCGCCACCAAAAUGGGAGCAAUUGUUUGGUUGGCGACGCAUACAUGGCAACAUAAAAACUCGCUGAAGAAGCGUCGAGGAAUCUCAUCAUAAGGUGUGCGCCAAAAAACUUCGCUAAACUUGUGGCACACCCCACCUUUUUUUAAAAAAAAGGGCUGGACGGGCAGAAGCCCCUACAGAAAUUUAUUGAAAAAAAGAAAACAGUUGGUCCAAACAAACAACUAAACAACCAGACAACUAACUAAACGGUAGCUGGCAUCCAUACCUUCACUUGGCGAGCGGUAGCUGGCAUCCAUACACGCUCAUAUACUUAGCUCACAAAAUUCUGUACCAUGCUUGUGAUAGAAAUACAACAUACAACUUGUUGCGUGGUACCUAGACAAGUUGUGGUUCUAACAUUUAUACAAUGAUCGUGUCAUGCAUAUAUGUAUUGAUAUGUCUUGAAAUUGAACUCUGAUAAACGAAUUAUGUAAUCGAUAUUUGACUUGUAAACAAUCUAAAAUGGGAAAAAUUUUGACUACAAAGUGUUAAAUUUUAUCGAGCACUACAACUUUGAUAUAGGAGAUGUCUCCAUCUAAGGUAAAUUAAAAAAAUAAAAUUUAUAGUUCAAAAUCUAAGAACUUAAUAUUUACAUCCGGGCUCCUAAACAAUCUCGAAUAAAAAUUCAAUCAACUAUAAAGUUUUAGAUCUCAUAGAGCUCUUAAUUUUCGUAUAAAUUUUUGUCUCCAUCCAACUUCAUUUGAAAAAGUUUGUACUAUAACUAUUUUUAAGGGCAGGGGCAGUAUAUUUUUAUAGGUGGUUGGCAUAAGACUGAAAAUCAUAUGUUCAGAAGUGGCUCUCUUAAACAAACCAUCCAUAAAAAUAGAUGUAUUUCUAAUGACGAUUUACUUAAUAGAAACACCCCUAAAAAUGUAUUUCCAUGGGUGGUUUAUAAGCUACGGUGCUCAGUUAGUUAUAAACGGUUUGAUAAGUAAACUAUUCCAGUAGGAGGCAUCUUAAAAAAAAUCUUUUUUUACUAGUGUAUGCACUCAUUGGAAGUAUCAUUGGGGUCACUAGAGGCUUUCGGUGCCUUUCUAGACUAGCCAUUGGAACUAGCCGUUAGGUCGCCCUUUAUUUGGCAUCCAACAUCCAGUGCCACCGGAGAUUUUUGGUGAGCUUACAAUUUUUAACAAAAUAUCACUGAAAUUUCUGAAACAUAUUGUCUUUUUCUCAGAUUUUUCUUUAUCAGUGAGGUAUGGCAGCCCGUUGUAUUAUCGUGAUGAUAUGUUGUGUUAUUUUCUCAAUGUUAUAUAAAUUGUGAUGGAUUAAAGAAUUUUUCAAGUGAAGUGAUAUCAAUUUUUUUUAAAAAAAUUCAAUUCAAAUUUAUUUAAAUUUGACCUAAUAUUUUUUAAAUUUCAUGUUCACCUUGGUGAGCACUGAUGCUCUUGGAUUCACCUCUGUAAGCCCAUCGGAGAUGCUCUGUCGUCCUCCGGUGCACUUCAUUCACCGGACUUUUCCGGUGCCUUAUGCACGACUCUGCAUAUUCUCUGUUCUGCACCUAUUUCUUCGAUGCCUCUACUUCAACUCACUAGACAUUUCUGGUGAGAUCUUCCCUUCUCUAUAGAUUAGUCCUGCACGCGUAUUUUCUGCUGUGUUAGUCCUUGGGGACCACCGAAUAAUUCUGGUGAAGGCUGUCUGUAUUCAUUUUGAUCCUUCUCUUCAUCUCUUCACUUCCGGUCUUGUUCAACUUGGUGUUAUGGACAUGUAGCAUAUGUCAUGUAGGUUUUUAACGGCAGCCCUAAUGUGUUUGUUUGAGCCUUUGAGGUGUUGAUCGCUCCGAUCUUCAUGAUGCCUAAUUCCAUGCCAACCGCAUCCAAUGAAUUAAACCUAACAGUUUUUUCGGCUCCUGAUUAGAGCUGUUGUAAAAAAUAUCUAGCAUAAGCCCGCUGGUAAGGGCCACUAUGCAUAGAAUUUAUAAACAAUAACACCAAUCCGUUAGUGUGUGCUUGUACCAGUGCUCGUGAGCUGCACAUUUAUUAAUGUGCUCUAUCUUCGUGUUCCCGUUUGUACUAGCAGCAUAGAGGCUAGAGUGUGGUAUGCCCACAUUCACCAAGUUCCCGGAACGAUGGGGUCAUGGAAUGAGGAACGCUCUUUGAGAAAGGAUUUUCUACUGUCGGAACGAAACUGAUCUACGAUCCCGGUGACUCAUGUGACUGUGGGUAUGCGUAUGUCUAGUGCAAUGCGUUAAUAAAUUUUAAAGAUGUGGAACGGGUUCACUUUUACACCCUCUAUUAAAAAUAUCGGUUGUUUAAGCUUUGUCCCAAGUGAAAUUAAACUUGGGUAUCUUUAACUUUACAUGAAAAAUAUAAUAAUAUCUAAAGCGUUGUAUUAAUUUAUUCCUUAAAUUAUGUCUUAAUUGGUCAAAGUUAAAGAGAGUUUUAUAGUUAUUAGGACAAAACCAAAUUGGAAGAAACCUGCAUUUACAAACAUGGGCAUUACCGAAACACAACAGAACCAAGCGUAUCUAUCUUUUCUUUUUGAGAACAUUAUUCCGGAUAUCUUCAUUUUUUUUAGAAAAUAAAAAACUUCCGGCCGGCCUCUGCAUUACAAUUUACAAUGUUAUCAGCUUAUUGUUAAUCUCUUCAAUAGUUCAACCAUUCUUAUUGGAAUGCAACUAUGUUCAAACACAAAACCAACGGCAAGCAGUAAAAGCGAGACGAUAACAUGGAGUUAGUUAUUAUUAAUCAAACACGGAGGGCAGAUAACAGUUAUCGGAAAGAAGUUCAUCUCAAAGACUCAAACAAGCAGACGGAAAUCGGCCAUUGGAUGAUCACACGCAGCUCGAAUUUGCGUUGCUUGUCGUCCUAGCUUAGCCAAUGUAGUACAAGGGGUCGGGCAGCUUGAAGGUGCGGGCGCCCUCCGGUGCGCCGAGGAUGUCGCUCCACUGGUCGCCGAUGUUGCCGACGAUGACAUAGCCUCCGUCCUGGAGCUUCUGGCGUUCACCGGACUUGAAGCCAAUGGCGGUGCCCUUGAAGCCGAUGGGGUUGAGCAGCAGCUUCUCCCAGCCGGAGUAGCCCUGGCGGCGGUGGUUGGCCACGGUGAUGGCCCUCUGGUCCUCGGUGCGACCCGUCAGGAGCACCGGCUUGAUGCCGAGCGAGAUGAGCUUGUUGAAGAGCCGCAGGUACUCGUUGAAGUCUCCGGCAGCACCGGUGCGCUGCCCUCCAGCACGUACUCGUUGAAGCUCGUGGCGUUGUACGGCUUAGUACUGUGAUCAAGAAAAGAAACACGCUGAUUAGCUAGGGCUGCAGGUUGUUAAACGUAUAGUUUAGUACUAUGAGUGGUAUGUAAAACCAUCUAGUCAUUUAUGUAUCCUCUGGUUCGAACUCUACAUUGCUAGUAGUUUUUUUUCCCUGAGAUGUGAAUGUGAUUGCUACUGGGGCAGAGAAAUUUUGCUUUUCUCUGCUGUGGACUUUCCCUGAAUGGAAAGCAGGUGAGCCGUAUGCCCGUAUCUGAUUAAUUGAUGGACUCUUUCUUAAAUCCAACGUGGAGCAGAAAAAAAAAGUAUAGCAAAAAAUUUGCAUUAUUAGGUCAGUCUCAAUGGGAGUUUCAUUUGCAUUAAAUAGGUUGCCACAUAGGCUGUUUUGAUGACAUGGCAGUGUAUUUAAGAAGAGAGAGAAGAAAUGAGUUUCAUCUAGAUGAAACUCUCUUCGCACGAUUACCAACUCUCUAUGAGUCUUGGAAUUAAAUGCUUAUGAAACUAUGAAAUGAAACUCUCCAUUGAGAGUGGGUGUUUCAUUCAAGUUUCAUUUUAUUUCAUAUGACAUGACAGUCUUGGAAACAACGUCAUGAAACUCUCCACUGAGACUGGCCUUAUUAUUAUUAUUAUUAUUAUUAUUAUUAUUAUUAUUAUUAUUAUUAUUAUUAUUAUUAUUAUUAUUAUUAUUAUUAUUAUUAUUAUUAUUAUUAUUAUUAUUAUUAUUAUUAUUAUUAUUAUUAUUAUUAUUAUUAUUAUUAUUAUUAUUAUUAUUAUUAUUAUUAUUAUUAUUAUUAUUAUUAUUAUUAUUAUUAUUAUUAUUAUUAUUACUACUACUACUACUACUAUUAUUAUUAUUAUUACUAUUAUUAUUAUUACUAUUAUUAUUAUUAUCUUAUUGUUGUUAUUAUCUUAUUGCUGUUGUUGUUAUUAUUGUUCUUGUUAUUGUAAUUGUUUAUUAUCAUUGUUAUUAUUAUUUUUAUUAUCAUUGUUGUUGUUGUUGUUGUUGUUGUUGUUAUUGGUACUACUACCACUAGUACAAAAAUCAUUUUUGCUGGCACGUUUUUUUUUUCACAGGCGGUUCACAAUAUCUUGGCGCUAGUAGAAAAAUUUCAGCGGGCCCAACAAGAGAACCGCCUAUGUAAACACGUUUACACAGAUGACCUUCUUAAUAAAACCGCCUGUGUAAACUUUCCAUUUACACAGGCGGCUUACGAUAAAAACCGCGUGUGUAAAUACCAUUAACACAGACGGCCGAGUUACGGCAACCGCCUGUGUAAAUGUGUCUUUUUACACAGUCUGUUUGUAUAGAGGACCGCAUGUGCUAAUGUAUUUACACAGACGGCCCUCUUUAUGAGCCCCCUGUGUUAAGUCUGCUAUAAAUACCCUUCGUCUACCUCCACACAAGAACAGUUACUCCCAUGAGCUCUCCACACUGGCGAACCACACGAUUCCAGUUUCCAAGGGGGGAGGUUUUGAUCUUCAUUUCUUUGGUGAGAAACUUCUAAAAGGUUAGUUAGAGCCCUUGAUGCUAUUUUUUUAGUGAUUCUUUGGUUCAAUUCUUGUAUUGGAGGUGCUCUAGAUCUAGAGUUCAUGAAGCAUUCUUGCUUAGGGUUAGGGUUCAUAGGGCAAGAGAGAGAGUUUUAGGUAAAUUUUUAUGUAAAUUCAUAGUAAAUUGUAAAAAUUAAAAAAAAAAUAGAAAAUAAAUACUUUUUAGAAUUCUUGUGAGUAGAUCUAUACAAUAGAGUAAUGAUGAGGACAUUUUGAAGUUUAUAAUUUUGAUUCAGUUUUAGUUUUUAUUUUUUCAGAUGAAUUAGACUUUAUAAACUCAAACAUUAAAAUGCUGAAAAUCAUAAAGUGGCAAAUAAAUACUUUUUCAAAUCUUUGUGCGUAAAUACUUUAUAGAAAUCCUUGAAUUAUUCCUAAAUUUUAUACAAUUGUUUCUUAUAAUUAUGAAAAUGAGUUUAAACAAUUAUUUAAAUUCCAUAAAUUAUAAACUCUGUAAGGGGUAGGUUUUCAUCUCUGUUUAAUAGAAGGAGGUUAGUAUCAUAGUUAAGUCUUUUUUCGGGGGUUAUAUUAGUUUUGUUUUUAGAUUGACCUACAUUAAUUGUUCUUAACUAAUUACAGCUAAAUAUAGAGAGAUCAUUAUGGAUGUACAACUUAUCAAGAUUGGACCCAUCAUAUGUAGUGGAGGUCCAAAAAUUUAUUGAUGUCGCAAAGAUACAUGUUCGCAGAACAAAGGCGAAGCACAUAUGUUGUCCAUGCGCAGACUGUAAAAAUAUUGUGGUAUUUGACAAUGUAGAAGCAAUUACUUCCCAUCUGGUUUGCAGAGGAUUUAUGGAGCACUACUUGAUUUGGACAAGACAUGGUGAGGAUAGUUCUGCACCUUAUAUGCGGACAACUGACAACACUGCAACUAACAUCAAUGUGGAGGGUCCAAUGCCACCUCUCAAUGAAUUUCAUGCUAUGCCAGAUGUCAAUAAAACUCAUACGUCUGAUAUCAAUGAAACUCAGCAUGCUAACAUAGAUGCUGUUGAAGAUGCAGAUUUCUUAGAGGCAAUAAUGAACCGUUGUGCAGAUCCAUCAAUAUUCUUCAUGAAGGGAAUGAAAGCAUUGAAGAAGGCAGCAGAGGACACUUUGUACGACGAGUCGAAAGGUUGUACCAAAGAGUGGUCGACAUUACGUGCUGUUCUUCAGUUUUUGACGGUGAAGGCUAGACAUGGUUGGUUUGAUGCUAGCUUCAAUGAUUUUUUGCAUGUACUUGGAGACCUUCUUCCUAAGGAGAACAAAGUGCCUGCUAACACAUACUAUGCAAAGAAGCUAGUCAGUCCACUUACGAUAGGUGUUGAGAAGAUCCACGCAUGUAGAAAUCAUUGUAUUCUAUAUCGGGGUGAUCAAUUUAAAGACUUAGACAGUUGUCCAAACUAUGGUGUUAGUAGAUACAAGACAAACAAAGAUUAUCGGAAGGAAGAGAAUCUAGCCUCUGUUUCUACAGGGAGGAAGCGAAAGAAGACCCAAACAAAGACUCAACAAGACAAACGCUCAAAGCCUAGUAGCAAUGAAGAAGUGGACUAUUGUGCAUUGAGAAGAAUUUCUGCUUUGGUGAUAUGGUAUCUCCCCGUGGUUGAUCGUUUGAGGUGUUUGUUUGCAAACCGUGAAGACGCUGAACUUAUGACCUGGCAUGCUUCAGAUGAAAGGAAAGAUGAUGGAAAGUUACGACAUCCAGCCGAUGCAAAGCAAUGGAAAGAUUUCGAUAAGAAAUAUCUAGACUUUGCUGACGAUCCACGGAAUGUAAGGUUUGCACUGAGUACUGAUGGAAUGAAUCCAUUUGGCGAAAGGAGCAGCACGCACAGCACAUGGCCGGUGAUCCUGACAAUAUACAACCUUCCUUCUUGGUUGUGUCAAAAGAGAAAAUAUCUUUUGCUAACCAUUCUUAUUUCUGGACCUACACAACCUGGAAUUGAUAUGGAUGUAUUUCUAGAGCCCUUAAUGCAAGACAUGCAAACACUAUGGGAAGUAGGUGUGGACAUGAUCGAUGCGUUCCGCAAAGAGACAUUCACAGUGAGAGCAAUUAUUAUUGUCACAAUUAAUGAUUACCCUGCUCUCUUCUCAUUAUCAGGCCAGUUCAAGGGAAAGGUUGGUUGUGUAGAGUGCAUAGAUGGAACAUGACACGUGUCUCUUCCUGCAUCUAACAAGAUAGUGUACAUGAGGCACAGAAGAUGGCUACCGGCAGGCCAUAAGUACCGCUUACAAAAGAUGAAUAAGUACUUCGACAAAAUUGAUGAAUCAAAAUCUACUGCUCCAUCAGGUUGUAGUAAAGGGCAUAGAGUGUACAAGAUAGUUGAGAAUGUGAAGUUUGUUUUUGGAAAGAAGACCAAAGAUGGGAAACCAAGAAAGGUUGUCAAGGCAAAUGAAGGGCACACAAGUCCAUUUUCUUCAAGUACUUAUCGUACUGGAAAGACUUGGACGUACGACAUGCGAUCGAUGAUAUGCAUGUUCAGAAGAAUGUGUUUGAAAGCAUAAUUGGAACCUUGUUAGACAUAAAGAGCAAGACAAAGGAAGGUCUCAAUUCACAUUUGGACAUGCAACAUUUAAAGAUCAGAAAAGAACUUCACCCUGUACUCCUAGAGAAUGGGAAGUACCACCUACCGGCAGCAAGCUACAACCUGAACAGAGAGGAGAAACAUGCAAUGUGUGUGUGGUUCAAGAAUUUAAAAGUUCCAUCUGGUUUCUGCUCCAACAUAAGGAGUCUUGUGUCGAUGAAAGACCUUACAUUCACCAACUACAACUCACAUGAUUGUCAUGUCAUGCUGACCACUUUUCUUCCUAUCGCCAUCAGGGCUAUAAAUCCAGUGUUCUUAAAGAUGGCAAUCACAUAGCUGUGCUACUUCUUUAAUAAGAUAUCUGAGAAGGUAAUUGUCCGUGAUGAGUUAGAGUCCCUACAAAAAUUUGCUGCAGAGACAUUGAGCUAGUUGGAGAUGUGCUUUCCCCCAUCGUUCUUUGAUAUCAUGGUACACCUUGUUGUUCAUUUGGUACCUCAAAUAGAGGCAUUAGGUCCCAUGUAUUUCCAUGAAAUGUGGACGUUUGAGCGUUUCAUGUCAAUAUUGAAUGGCUAUAUGUCAAAUCGUGCUCAUCCGGAGGGUUCCAUGAUAGAGGCGUACACUACAGAAGAGGCCAUUGAGUCUGGAGGACCAUUAUGUAAUAAUCUCCUAAAAGACCAGGUAUCAAUUGGUUUGCCUCCAUUGCGACAUGAGGGAAGGCUUGAUGGACGCGGGAGAAUGGGACGGAAAUCAUUCAUCCCGCUAGAUUACAACAUAGUCCUAGAGGCACAUUAUAGCAUACUACAACAACUCAUAAUAAUGGACCCAUUCAUUGAGCAACACAUGAAAGAGCUUCGUGAGAAGAAUCCAGGAUGCACAAAUGAUUGGGUACACAAGAAACACAAGCGUCAGUUCACCACAUGGUUAAAGGAUUUGGACAUGACAGAGGAAUCAGAAACCAUCAAGAUUUUAGCAUCUGGACCAUCAAGCCAGGUCACAUCAUGGCAGAGCUAUGACAUUAGUGGCUUUUCAUUUUCCACCAGCUAUAGGGACACCAAGAGCAUGGCACAGAAUAGUGGCGUUUGAUGCGAGGCUAUAGAUGAUGCAACUGGUGAAACAACUACAUACUUUGGGUUCAUUGAUGACAUAUGGGAGGUAGAAUAUGGUCCACUCCUGCAAAUUCUAGUGUUUUGAUGCCGAUGGGUUCAAGAUAAACAUGUCACUGUGGAUAACUAUGGCCAGAGAGUUCUUGACCUAAGUAAAGUAGGUUAUAAAGAUGAUCCGUGGAUCCUUGCUAAACCGUGCCGCACAAGUCUUCUAUGUGGAACAAAUCCUUUCUAAGGAUGAAAAGAAAAAUAGCCAAAAGCCAAAGCAUAUAGCUAUUCAUGGAAAGCAACAAAUUAUAGGAGUUGAUGGUGUAAUAGAUUUAGAGGAUGUUAACCAAUUCAGCGAGAUGUCUCUUUUUACAAACUUUCAAGAAAACAUAAAAAAUGUUGAGAAAAGUAUCCCACAAUCCUCAUUGCCAUGGGUGCGCCACGAUGGACAAGGAAGGACUGUAGCACGCUAGAUUCUAUAAGUUGUCAUUACUCAUGUAUCACUUAUCAUUUGUACCUUAUGCUACUAUUUCUUAUUAAGCAACAUGUUUACAUUUUCCAUUUGUUUUAUAUCUUAUGCUAUUUUAUAAUAUUUGUACAAUUUAUUACGGAUUAUUUAAUUUUUGAAACAAACAUAAUUAACAAACCAUUAAUCACUAAGUAAAUUAAUUAACAAAGCACUCCUUUUCUAUUUUAACAGAGGACGUCCGCGCCACCGUUGAGGUGAGCCGAGGUGUGGCGGCGGCAGCCGUGCGCGUCGCCGCCCCUCCCAACGCCGGCGGCAGCCAGGCAGCUUGCUGGGCCCUGGGCCGGGUAGGCCGCCCUUGCUGCCUUUUUUUUAGUUUUUUGUAAAUUAUUUAUUUGUUAAUUAUUGAUUAAUUAUUUAAUUGUUAAUUAGUAAUUAUUUGUAAAUUAUUUAUUACUUUAUUAAUUAUUGAUUAAUUAAUUAUUUGUUAAGUAGGGUUUCUUAAUUAGGGUUUGUUAGUUAUUUAUUUGUUAAUUAAUUAUUUAUUUAUUAAUUGUUUGUUAAGUAGGGUUUCUUAAUUAGGGUUAGUUAGUUAAUUAAUUGUUAAUUAUUUAUUUAUUUAUUAAAUAUUGAUUAAUUAAUAAAUUGUUAAGUUAUUUAUUUGUUAGUUAUUAAUUAGUUAUUUAUUUGUUAAGUUAUUAAUUAGGGUUUGUUAGUUAUUAAUUAGUUAUUUAUUUAUUAAUUAUUGAUUAAUUAAUUAUUUGUUAAGUAGGGUUUUUAAUUAGGGUUAUUUAUUUGUUAGUUAUUUAUUUAUUAAUUAGUUGUUAGUUAUUUGUUGAGUAGGGUUUCUAAAUUAGGGUGUCUUAGUUAAUUAUUAAUUAGUUAUUUAUUUGUUAAGUAUGGUUUCCAGGAUGUCCGCUAGUGUUAAUUAGGGUUUGUUAAUUAAUUAGGGUUUGUUAAUUACAGUUUGUUAGUUAAUUGUUUAUUAAUUAUUUGUUUGAUUAGAUGAGUACUCCAUCGAAUGUUGGAGCCCAGAUAGAAACACCGGGAUCCGACACUUAUAGAAGCCCGAGCGUAUCACCACGUGAAUCCCCCACAUCUAAGAAGGCUCGUCUAGAGUUGGAACAUGACCCGACAUACGAGCCUCAAGCUGAUCCGGAUGAUGAUGAGGUAUAUAUUGUAGUAAAGUGUCUAUACAAGAGAAUACAUGUGUAUAUAUGUAUGUACCUAACAAUUGAAUGGACAGAAGGUGUUAUCUCAAGUUGUUGCCGAAAUGGAGGCAGAAGAACAAGAUGUUCAGAAGGACACGGCGCCUCAAACGACUGGGACAUCCUCUGAGCCAAGAAGUAAAACAAAAAAAGUGAUCGGGCAGAAGAAGUUUAUCAGAUUAUAGAGUUAAGUCCGAGCGGAGAGCCCUUAGCACCUCUAGAGGCGCUACCCAAAUUUAGGGCCGCAAUUGGAUUUUUAGUAAAAGAGGAAUUUGAUAUCACUUGGAGUGAUUGGAGUAUGGUGCCACAAGUGAAAAGGACCACUUGCUGGAAUCGCUUGUGCACUUGAUUUAUUUUUCCGGAUGGUACAGAUGAUUUGGCCAAGGGUUUUGUCAUGAAGCAAUUGGCAAUAUCAUUCCGGGGCUAUAGGCACGAUAUGAACAAAAAGUGGUUGCAGAAGGGACCGGACCCGACGAAGCGGUACCCUAUCACAGAGGCUCAGUGGGCAUGUUUUCGUUUGAUGAGAGAAUCGGAUGAUGCCAAGGCUAAGAGCAAAGCCGCCUCUGAACUCGCGAAGAGGAACAAGUAUCACCACCACCUUGGCACUGGUGGUUAUAAGACCAAGAUUCCUAAAUGGAGGGCAGAAGACGAUGCAAAGAGGAGAGAGGGCCAUUUGGAAUUGACCGAUAUAGUGCCUGAAAGGAGUGCGAAUUGGCUUCGCACUCGGAAGGCAAACACUAAGAGCGAUGAGAUGUCAUGUCCCGAUGAGAUUAGAGAAGUUGCCGACAAGGUUUUGGAAGCAUCAAACCUGGAAAAGAAAGGUGCCUUCAAGUCACAGAGGGAGAGGGACAUCCUUACCCAUGCUCUAGGUAACCCCGAGCAUCCAAGACGUGUACGGGGAUUCUCCUCCAGAAUUAGUUGGAAAGAAGGAUUCGGUGAUGAGUGGAAAGACAUGUAUAAGAAAAGAGACCGACAUAAGGAGAAAAUGAAAGAUUUUUUUGAGGAGCAGGCUGCAAAAAAGUUUAGGGAUAUGAUGGAAGACUUCUUUACAAAUCCUGAUCCUAAAGUGAUGAAGCAGUUGGCAGGAGCAGUGUCUGCUCAACAAAUGUCCUCACAAGCUCCUUCGCAUAUGCAGCUUGUACCAGCUCAACCCUUGGAGCGUCAAGAGAUGGCCACACAAUCUAUGCCCUUUCCAAGCAGUAUAGUGUCAACAACAAAUAAGGACCAUUAUCCAGUUGAUGAUAUUGAUAGACCUUGGCCUUGCUCCUUGGUCAUAUCCUAUGGCCUUAAGAAUCUGCAUACAAAGCAAGUGGCCACCGGCAAUGCUAUCCCAGGACGUACAUUCCAUACUGUUGACAUGCAAGAUGCAUACUGUAGGGUGGAAGUGUUGACGGUCGAGGUCGGAUAUGAAGACGACUUCAUAGACAUCCCGACCUCUUGAGGGUAUAGAGAAGCUUGGACAAGCAAUCAACAACUUCAUACAAUGGCCGAGACGGUACGUAAGGUUGAUUGAUCCACCAGCGCCACCCUCUCCAAGCAUAGUGCCUCAACCAUCCCAAGAGGCCGAAACAUAUCAACAGCCACCAUCACCAAUGCAUGCUCCAGCAUCCCCGUACAUUUAUGAGCCACCACCAUCCUCCCCAAUACAUGAGAUGGCAUUCUUGCAGAAUGAGCCCGAGGUGCCAGCCAAGGAGAACAUGCCUGAGCAGCAGACUCCGCCAUCCAAGGAGAAUAAGCAAACUCCCCCACCACCUCCAAAGGAGAAGGAUGAGCAGACUCCCCCACCACCUCCAAAGCAGAAGGAAGAUGAGCAAACUCCCCCAGCAGCACCGGCCUCUAAGAAGGUGAAGAAAUUUCCAAUUCCAAAAUUGAUUUCUCCCUAUGAGCCAAAAAAGAGGAAAGCAGCAGGCACAGCUCUCUUUCUGAAAGGACUUGGAAAGCAGCGGACGACACGGCUUAUUGAGCUCGAACCGUCAUAGAAAAAGGAAGCCACCGCCCAGUCAAUAGAAGCCAUGCCCCCAUCAAAGGAAGCCCCAAGUGGCGAUGUACAUGUCAAACAGCCAUCAAGUCAACCAUUGACCCUAAAGGAUAUCAGAAAGCCAACGAUUGAUGAUUAUGUCAAUGUCCCCAGUGACUAUGUGCCCGGAAGGCCUAUGCUCCAAUGGACGCUGCUUGAUAAGAUUCAAUGGCCGAUAAAAAGGUUUCAUGACUGGUACAUGAGAGCAGUGUAUGCUGGCCUCCAUGCAAUCAGAGUUGAUAUACCAGCAGACGUGUUUGCUACUGGUAACGAAAAAAGUAACGCAUUUGUUACCUUUGAGGACAUGCACUUGUUAUUGAACUAUAGGCGGCUUGACGUCCAACUCAUAACAAUUUGGUGUCUGUAAGUAUCACUCAUGCACACACAAUUAUUAUUAAUAUGUAGUGUGAAACUCUAAUAUGUAGAUGUUGUCUGUAGUUUGCAAGAUCAUGAGCAGAGGUCAUUAUUAUCUACCGGAUCGAUGGUCGGUUAUCUGAGCCCUAUCAAGUUACAAGAAAAUAUGCACAAAUUUGUAUUAUCAAAGGAAGAUAGAGCAAAGAUAGAGGAAUACAAAACACCAGAAGAAGUUGCAGAAGCUAUAAAAGAGUUGCAAAGAAAAUAUGAGGAUAAUUAUGCCCUCUAUUUUGGUAGAUCAAUGCUGAGGUAUAAUCAUAGGGAUUUUAUAUUGGCACCUUACAACUUUAGGUAAGCUUGACUUCAUAUACGUACUUCAAAUAAUUAUCGUGUAAACAAUAUACAUGUGUCGCUCACUCAUUUAUUCAUGCAGUGACCAUUGGAUUGUUUUUUAUAUUUAUCACUUCGAAGGGAAGGUGCUUGUCCUAGACUCUUUACAUGUUCCUCUCGAGAAGUAUCAACCAUUUUUGGUUCAAUUAGAAAGGUGAGCCAACAUGAAACCACAUGCGUACUUUUCAAAAUAACUUUAGUGAUUUAUAUUCGAUAUCUACAGGGCAUGGCGGUUUUAUAAGAAACAAAAGGGACCGGUCGACGCCACACGCUCAGAUCCUAGGGUGCCAUUGAUGAUACAACACCACUAUUCGGUAAGUUGUCCGAACACAUUUCAUCAUAUAAAUAAUACAUAAAGCAUGGAAAAUUUAGAAUAAUCCGUUGCUCAUUAUAUAGUGCCACAAGCAACCACCUAGAUCGGUCUAUUGUGGGUACUAUGUCUGUGAGUUUAUAAGGCAGCGGGGACGUUACGUCAGGGACAAAAAUAUGGUAAAUAAUAUCUAUGUAUGAAGUUUUCUUAUUAAAGUUGUAAAAUUAUAUAUUGAACAUGUGUCAAUCAUGCUUUUUAAACUUUGUUUCCAGCAAAAAAAACAAGGAAAGGACGUGCCCUUUACACCAAAGACUCUGGAAGAUAUAGUAGCAGACUUGUGUGGUUUUAUUAUGAGAGAAAUAAUUCUAAGUGACGGUGCAUAUUUUGAUCAUGAGGGCGAUUUGGCAAGUGAUAAAUUUAGAGUGCUGACAGACAUAGCAGGUCUAAAUCUGAAGUGAAAUGACAUGUAAACACUAUAUGGUUGUGCGGAUAACAUGCAUUGACGUAUAUAUAUAUAUAUAUAUAUAUGUGUGUGUGUGUGUGUGUAAUUUUAUGGUUGAUGUUUGAUUUCAUGUUUACAAUUCUAUAAUAUAUAUAUGUGGUGUAUGUAUGAUGUGUGUGUAUGUGUGUGUAUAUAUAUAUAUAAAUGAUGUUUAGCCCUGUGGUGGGAAAAAUUAGAAUUUGAAAUAUAUAUAAAAAAUUAUUUACACAGGCGGUGUAGUGUGAGCCGCCUGUGUAAAAAUACAUUUAUACAGGCGGCUCACCUUGUCAGCCGCUUGUGUAGAAAUACAUUUACACAGGCCGCUGGCUAGGUGAGCAGCCUGUGAAAACCUAAUUUUCACAGGUGGCUCACACAGCCCCGCCUGUACUGUGGUCCAUUUUGUACUGACCCUGGUAUAGGUGGUGGGCUUAGCCGUCUGUGAAGAUGCUUUUAGCACCGCCUGUAAAAAUAUUUUCUGUAGCAGUGUACUAUUGCUGUUAUCAUUACUAUUAUUAUUACUAUUAUAUUAUUAUAUAGAUAAUUAGUAAUAGAUUUAGAUAUAGACAGAUAUAGAUAUAGAUUACUGGAUAUAGAUAUAUACAUGGAUAUAGAGAUUACGUCCGUUGGUUGAAUCGCGUCGUAUGUGUCGUGUCGUGUGUGUGUACGUACCCGAAGCCCUCUCUGGCGUAGUAGGGGAAGGUGGAGAGCGAGGUCUCGUCGACAUCAAACACCCACACCUCCUUGCCGUUGCCGGCGAGCUUGAGCCCCUCGGCGUACGCGAUGGCCUCGUCGACGACGACGCGGGAGUCCCCGGCGAUAUUGCUGGCCGAGCAUGUAGUGGCCGACGUAGUCCUUGCAGUUGGCGGGCACCGUCUUCCAGUCGCGCUUGUUGUAGGCCUCCACGGCGAGCCGCCAGCUAUCGCACGGCACGCCGGCGAGCCGGCCCAGGUCUCCGGCGGAGCCCAGCAGCGGGUGCAGCGCGUGGAUUAGCGGCGUGGCCACGCCUUCUUGGAGAUGGGCCGCGGCUUCCUCUGUCGCGCGCACCGUGGGCAACCGGAUCAUGUUCAGAUCCCAUGCGGCGCCGGUGGCCAUGAGAGCAGCCACGAGCAGGACGAGCCUGGCCACCGCCGCCAUUAGUAGAUGAUGAUUCCUCCUGGCUUGGUCUUGGGUGAAGUGUUAUUGCUUGUUGCAAUGGCCAACUGGCUGUGGGGCACAUAAAUAGAGGAUGGUUUGUAUCUCCCCUAAUAAUGCACCGAGUUUUUCUUUUCUACCUCCACACCAAAAAACGUCCCCCGCUGAGGAGCCCUCUCUCCAUCCAUCCAGAAAAGUGUACCCAGAAGUUUUUCUUUCCUACCUCCACACCAAAAAACGUCCCCCGCUGAGGAGCCCUCUCUCCAUCAAUCCAGAAAAGUGUACCCAGAAACACAACAUCUUUAAAAUAGACCGUCUAGAUUUAAUCUAAGUAUUCUCUCUCCUUACUCACUCAAAUCCAAGGGCUAAGAUUGCUCGUAUCAACCUCCUCAGCCUUUGCUGUCCGCCCCCAACAAAAACAAAAACACCUGUUGCGCCGCCGCUAAUCACGUCUAUCGCGUCUCGUGACUCUAAUCCCAACGCUCGCACCGAGGGACUCCUGCUGCUCGCCGUGAAUCAUACCGGCGCCACACACGAACAUCUGCUAAUCACAACCACCGAGUGCACACAAUCGCCGAGACGGGACCAUCACCGAGCAGCCGAUGCAGAUCGAGCGUCCACACAUUCGGCCGCCGGUGGAGUCAGGCAUCCAAUCCGCGCAGCGGCGGCCGGUGCCGAGUGCAGAUCAGGUACUUGCUUGCUGCCCCUUGUUACCAUUGUCAGGCAUCCAUGUAUCAGCAGUGCAGAUCCUGGUGCAUGCUUGCUGCCCCCUGUUACCAUUGUCGCAAAGACGACAGUGCUACUUGUUUCAAAGUUGGAGCCAUGUCUUCUCAGUUUAUGUUAUAAGGGACAACUCAAAUUUUGUUCUCUCUUGCCUUUUGCAAGGACUGACAUACUGAAUGAAAUAAAAAAAUAAAAAAACUGAAUGACUAAAUUGGAUGUAGAACUAAAAUAAAAAAAAUACAUACGAUCCAAGUUAUAUAUAAUAAUAUAUAAUAAUAAUAAUAAUAAAAGAUAUUGUAUUAUUAGGGUAGAUAAAAAAAUAGGAUCUCAUCAUGUUUCUUUUUUCCAAUGAUGUUUUGUUGUCAUCCCUCGGUCCUCACUCUAUUCUCAGACCGAGUAAUAUAUAAUAUGAUUUUUAGAUUAUUAUUUAUCAGUCUUACAUAGAAAAAUGGGAACGCCAAAAAAGGGACGGAUUUCGCUUAGCGAUGUAACAAACAUACAUACAUAUUCCAGAUAUAAGCAUAUACACAUAUUGCAAUGAAAUAUUAUAUACAACGCCAUAAAUAAUAAAUAAGAAACCUCCAUGUCCACAGCUUGCAGCGAAAAACAACUUAAGAGAGACGAAAGGAAUAGGAAACAACGUGAGUACCGUGUUAGAAAAGAGGGCUCAAGAAACGGACGAGGAACAGGAGGAGAGGAAUAAGAGGCAGCGUGAGUACCGUGCUCGCCGAAAGGCCGAAACAAGUGCACUUUCAAAUGUACCGGAUCACCAGAUGCAUGAUCUUCGCUAUUCUUGUGUGGUAUAAGAAUAUGAUGUUUAUUUUUGUUCAUGUCCUUUAAAUAGACUAUGUUGUAGGAACCCAUUCAACUUAUGGGACACCUUUCUCGGCCAUCCUGCAGCCAUUGUGCGAGGGAUGCAUUGUAGCCCCAAACAUGAACUUUGUUGACAUGGAUAUGGCAGGAACCUUGCUCGGAGUAGGUCAAGCAUCACCAUCAGAGACCUUGGAUUCCGAGAUCUUUACUGGACCACCCUCGGUUCAAGACAAAGAAAACCAAAGCCCAUGUCAUUCUCCAAUAUGGUUGCAUUGAAACAAUAACUACUACGUCAGAGUGAGGCAUCAGGUGUCUGGAGAUAAUGCAUUUCAGCAAUCUCCUCAAAUAGUGGAUCCAGGUGUGUGUCAUUUAGUAAAAUUUAUACAAAAAAUAGUUUAGGAUCUAGGUGUGUGCCUUUUAUUGAAAAUUUUACACUAACUAAUUUUUAAUAUUUAUAUGACAAUUAGUGAAAUUUUUGCACUGACUAAUUUUUUAUAUGCCACCAUAACAACAAAUUGUUCAUCAGUUUCCAGUUCACUUGGCAACAAGCUAUUGAGAAGAGAGAAAUACAACUUUAUGGAAGCCUAAAAAAACAGACAUUAUUGGAGAAAAAAGGGACUACGCAAGGGACCUCAAGUUUGUUUGUUGUAAGUUGAUAUAAUUAUUCCCUUCAUGUGUAUAUAUAAUUGUAAUAAUUAAUUAAAUUCUAAUAAAUUUUGGAAAAUCAACAGUCUAUAACUCAGUUUGGGCGAGAUCCAUGGUGUUGUGACAAGAUAGAAAUAAUGACUAGCAAAAUUGUUUGAAUGUUGGCCUGAUAUGGACUACAAAAUUCAAAAUUGCAACAAUGUAAGAUAUUAUUCCGUAAAUUCCUUAUAUUUGUUUACAGGUUCUAUUCCCAUAUUGGCGUGAUAGACACUAUAUUUUAUUCAUAUUAGACAUAAGUAACAAAUUUUUGUACAUUAUUAAUCCGAAUUCUCCAAAUCUAUGGCACAUGACUGAUGAUCCAAGCAAGCCAUAUACACCUAUACUAAAUAUUAUUUUGAAUCAUUUCAACCUUGCCAUGAAAUUAGCAAAUCCUAUAUGGAACGACAAUAUUUUUCUCUGGCGUCAUGAAUUCAUAAAAAAAUCAUCCAAAAAGCAAGGACUGGUAAAAACUUAUUUUAAUUUUUUUAUCUUUUUUAUCAAAUAGUCAUUUGAUUUUAUCUACAACAAACAAACACUUUCUCUCUUCUUCUAUAGGAAAUUGGCAGGCUUUCUCGUAUACAACUUCAUAAAGUCAUGGAAUGGUGAAAGACUGACGUUUAUCGACACUGUAAGCUUAUAUAAUUUAUAUGUAUAAUAUCUUGUAGCCUAUAUAGAAAAAUAAUAAGUUAACUUAUUAUCUACCAUUCACAGAGGUCACGUUCACUAAGGACUGAAUUCAUAGUGAAUAUUUUGAAGAGCAGCACAAAUGAAUGUACAGAUAAUAUCUCUGGAGAACUCCAAGUUCUACUUCAACAAAUAAAUUAGCUGAAAUAUACGAGAUAUGAUUUUAUUGUGUCUUGUUAUACAUUAGCAUUUCCCAUAAUUGAAUGUGACUUAAACUAUUGAACAAUAUCGUUGUUUUGUUCUUUUUAAUUACACCCUAGAAUGAAACCGUCGUGUGCCACGGGCACUAUACUAGUGGUGAUAGUAGUCUGAUCUGCAUGUCAGAGAUGGGCAACUGAGAAAUACCGUGUUAUCCUUGUCGAGCGACAUCCCUUAACACAACAACCAAUCAUUUAUUUAUUCUGAGUACCUUACGGACCACAUUCAAGUCCAAAGUUAAUUCUAUCAAAUCUGAAGUACUUCAUUGGAUUGAAUCAAUAACAUAUUUCCCAAGGAACAGUUAAUCUAUUUAUAGAGAACAGUUAAUCCUUAGUGCCCGUGCUAACGCUACGGUUUUAUUUAAAAAAUACAUAUGAAAACAACCAAUCAUUUAUUUAUUCUGAGUAUCUUACGGACCACAUUAAAGUCCAAAGUUAAUUUUAUCAAAUCUGAAGUACUUCAUUGGAUUGAAUCAAUAACAUAUUUCCCAAGGAACAGUUAAUCUAUUUAUAGAGAACAGUUAAUCCUUCUAAAACAGGUCCAACAUCCUGUAAAAUUAUAGAGAACCAUACAUUUUUUUAAAUUCUUUUGCACCUUAAGCAUAUAGGGGAUUAUAUAAGCUCGAAACAUACAUAGUAGGUAAUUGUAAUUUAUGGACUUACUCAUUUAAGGAUUCAUCAUAGCAGAACAUGUUUAUAAACGAUAUUCUUGGUGCUCUUGCCUGUGGAAGCAAACUGGAAUAUUACUUUUUGAUUUAUGGCAAAGAUGCAGUAAGAUGCACAAUUAGUUGACAUAACAGUUCACCACAUAUAGCAAGGCAGAAACAUUCGGGUCUGAAUUUCUACUUACCUACACAAAAAUCAACUACAGGCAAGCAUCUGACCCCAUUCUAAAUCACAUACCUCCAAGAGGUAGAUAGUAUUGGAACUCCUCUUCUCAGUGGAAUAUCAUUGGACACCUAUAUUGUACGCAAAAGCAAAACACGAUUAAUUUACAUAUAGAUGGCCACAAGUGCACAACUCCGUGAUAACAGAGAGCUGAUGUUUCGGCUGCCACAAGAAGAAAAACUUUUGCACGUCGUUUUCACCAGCAUACCGAUCAAGUACUCCCAAAUAUGAAUCCCACCAAACUGAACGCUGAUCCAUUGUUCCAAGGCCACCACUGAAUAGCAACCGUGAGAGUCCUCCAAGAGGCAAGAUCAUCAACCCUCGCUACUCGUUGAGUCAUAAGGCAAACUCCAUCUCAGCUCGUUUCAGGACACGUGAAACCAUAGAGUAGAAUUCAGGUUCUUCUUCUUUUAUUGGGUCGAGUGUGGUGGAUUCAUGGGCAUCAGCCUGCAUAAAUAGGAGAAGGUGAACCAAUGGACAGGAAAAGCCCGCCAGUCAUUUCAUUUGCAACUAAGGAUGAAAACGGAACGGAAAUAUCCCGAACCGAACCGAACCGCUUUCUAUAUUGGAUCCGAUCGAAUUCGUAUUUUUUUGUCCGACUUUAUCGUUUUCGCUUUCGUAUUUUAGAUGUUUCGUAUUUCAAAUAUAAAAGUAGAAAACGGUUUUGACAUUUUUCGACCGUUUUCUACUUUUCUACUUUUAAUAUGAAAUAUUUCGAAUUCAAAAUUUGGUUUAAACCGAAUUUAGUCAACUGUAGGGUCACACAGUCUAAUUAUAGACUACUCACCAUGCAUCUGCGUUCUUUCUACUAGUGGCUAGUUGUGUUCAUGUUAGCUAUUAAUUGCUUAUUCUAGACUUGUAUUUAUGUGUGGGCUAUUGUAUUAAAUACCUAAGACUAAGAAGCAUGCACUUUUUAAUUAUUAUAUGCACUUGAACUUGAUCCUAUAUAUACUUUUAUAGUCAUGCACUUUUAUAUAUCAGUAUUUCGUAUUGAGUUUUCGUAUAUCGACCGUGUUCGACAUAAAUCCGAUCGAAUUGGUUCGUUUUCGAAAUUCUCGAUAUUUCGUAAGUUCGUGUUCGUUUUCGUGUCCGACUUUACCGUUUUCGUUUUCGUUUUCGUAUUUCAAAUGUAAAAGUAGAAAACAAUUUAGGAGUUUUUCGACAGUUUCCGACCGUUUUCAUCCUUAUCUGCAACAUAUGCCAUCUUGGAAUUCAACUUCAAUGUUCCAUGAGCAUUCGUGACUUGUUACCUCACUAAACUUGAGAAGUAUUAAGUUUGAGAUGCCAGCAGCCUUUGAUUUGUCCCACCUAUAACAAAGUAAUUACAGGAAUUAAUGUCAAAAAAAAUCUCAUCGAAAUUUAAGACAUUACCAAUGCCAAGCCACUUCAGAGUUACAAGCUAACAUAGCUAAUUAUCCAGACUUAAAAGAUGUCAGUCACCCUACGCUAGAGAUAAUGCAAGUUGGAUUUUGCUUUUGCUCUACCAAAUCAGAUAUGAUGGGAACUUAGGUAGUGCCACAAAAGGCACGAUGAUCUCAAGCCACACUAUCAGUUAGAGAAGGAAGCAUACCGAACAAGCAUUAGUUCAUUGACAGAUCUCCACAUUUUCCGACCCGUGUCCUUCUGACUUUGGUCUCUAGCACUUCGACCACGCCACAAUUCUUUGACAAUGUACAUUACCUCUUCAGAAUCUACCUUUAGAUUGUAAAAGAGAAUGUUACAAACGUAGACGUACAAAAGGAUAUCAAAACAAGUGAAGGUGAAUAAUCCCUUUUUCACAUGUGCUGGUCACCAUCAACAUAAAUAAAUAACACCUCAACUACAUAAUUCUCGAAGAAAAUAUCUUAUUUCCAGGAUAUGACAUUACAUAGCAAGAAACAUAGUACCAGAACUUGCUCGGCUGUCCCAUACAUCAGCUCCUCAUGCUCAAUAAGACGCUGAUGAAGUAUACGGUAAUGAUCCAAAUCCAGGUUAACAACUGGUUCAGUUUGAUAAUCUAAUCCAGCAAGCUGAGUAAUCACAUAGGAGGCUAUAACUUGACCAAAUAUUGCAGGUUAAGAUGGGACUUCAUAGUGGCUGCUCUGACAAGACUCAAUCUUCCCGCUCCUUUUAUAAAUCUCAUCUAUCAAUGUAUCUCUACCACUACUCUUUCUGUGCUGGUUAAUGGUGAGCCCUCUGCAGGCUUCUCGGUCACCAGAGGAAUAAGGCAAGGCUGUCCUCUUUCCCCUUAUCUUUUUGUAGUAGCUAUAAAUGAACUAUCAAUCUCUCUCCAAUGCCACUUGCAGAAUUCUAGACUUGCAGGUAUUUCCUUGGGGCCUGGCUGCCCCCCAAUCCACUCUCUCCUUUUUGCAGAUGACUUAAUCAUUUGUGGAAACGCCAACUUCCAGGAAGCUCAGACAAUACACUCGGCUCUUUAUGAUUUCUGUGAUCAAUCAGGUCAGACCCCCAACCUCAACAAGUCAUCCAUUUUAUUCAGUAAGAAUGUUCCUAAUCAAGUACGUAAUCAAAUUAAAUACAUUUUCCCAGUUCCUGAUCUAAACCCUAACACCAUUCACUUAGGUCACCCUCUGAUUUUUAAUCAUAAAGACAGGAACAAAGCAUAUGCUUUUAUCAAGAAUAAAUUUCAUGCUAAAUUCACCACUGUUAAAGCAAACAAAUUAAAUCACGCUGGCAGGCUCACCUAUAUUCAAUCUGUUCUCUCUGCCAUUCCUGUUUAUUAUAUGUCCACCAUCCUCUUCUCGAAAGCUUUUAUUGCUGAACUAACAACCAUCAUUAAAAGAUUUUGGUGGGCAGGAAUCCAGGAGAAAAAUGCAACUAACCCUAUCCAUUUCAGAUCUUGGGAAGAUAUCUGUCAAUCUCGUCAAAAUGGAGGUUUAGGCAUAAGAGAUCUUCAUCUUGUUAACAAAAGCCUGGCAACUAAUAAAAACCCUUUCUUACAACAAAUCAUCAAAGCAAAGUAUUAUCCCACCUCCUCAUUCUGGAACGCUACUAACAAUGUUCCCAAGUCGGCUUUCUGGUCUUCAAUUCUGCAGGUCAAACAGGAGCUAUCGGAAAGCGUGCAGCUUCAACUACAUCAAGGCAACAGUUCUAUUUGGUCAGCCCCCUGGUGUGACAUCUGGAAAUCCAUCCAUGAUCACCUGCUCAUCCCAGUCACAACUCUGCCUCUUCCAAGCACUGUAAAUCAACUCUGGUACCCAGGCACUCGUAAUUGGAACUUACCUCUUCUUAGUACCACUUUUGACAAUCAAGCUAUUCGCCAUAUCAUAAAUACCCCUACGGUUGACAGUACUGACAGUGACCUCCUAAGAUGGACUCCCGCUAAAGAUGGAUUAGGAACUGUUAAAGCUAUUUAUAAACAUCUCUCUAAUAACAACACUGUGAAUAUUCCUGCUACAGGUACAAGAAGCAUCACUCCACAAGCUAACACAAUUCUAUGCAGGGUCUGGAAAUGCAAAAGUAUCCCUCCUAUCAUUAAAACCUUCACCUGGCGACUCAUAAGAAGAGCCUUAGCCACAGCUGACAGGGCAACCAGAUUUUCAUCCCCAGGUAAUAACACAUGUGACAGAUGCAACAUGAUUGAAAAUGACUACCAUAUGUUCUUCCAAUGUACCCUCCCACGUCAGGUUUGGCUCACAGCCAACCCUUCCAUUAACACAGCUAAUCUUCCCCAUGAAAUUGAUGGUGUUCAAUCAACGCUAACCCUUAUCGUUAAUGAUACCACUCCUGAAGCUUUAUUAAGCAAAAUUCUUUAUACUCUUUGGUUCGUUUGGAAAGCCAGGAAUGACUACCACUUCAACAGAAAGGAUAGGAUAGCACCUCAAGUUCAUCAGGCCAUUCAAGCCUACAUGACCCAAAAUGAGCAAAAUCCCCCCACACAUCAUCUCAGUUUGCUCAAAACCAAGGUAAUCAACUAUCAGUUUUGCAGGCACACCUCCAACAGCCAACAAUGCACUACUGCCCCUUCCCAGCAAACCUCCAGGGCUCAAGAUGUUAUGUUGAUGCCGCAGUAACCUCUGAUGAUCAAAACAUAAACACUAACAUUGCAGGUCUAGGCAUCUUUAUCCUAAAUUUUCAGGUUCAGCCGCUCCAAGCCAUCUAUGUCCAAGCUCAACUUCAGCACUGCCACUCCGUUCUCAUGGGUGAAGCUGCAGCCCUAGCUCUUGGAGCAUCUAUUGUCCAGGCUCUUCAAAUUCCAUAUUGCAACUUUCUUUCAGAUUCCCAGCAACUGGUGCAUUUCCUCCAUCAGGAGAACCAACAGAACCCGCCCCAGUGGAGAAUCAAACCGUUUACACAGGUUUUCACCAAUACUGCAACCACACUUCAAACUCAGCUCUUCAAGAUCAACCGAAAUCAAAAUACAACAGCUGAUACUUUAGCGAAGCAGGCCCGUAGCUCCAUGCCUACAUUUUAAAGCUGUAAUUGUACCGGGCCUCAUUGUGGCCCCAUUUGUACUUUGUUCCAGGCUCUACUCCAGGUAGACCUCAACUCUGUAACCAUCUUAGCAGCUUCUUGCUGCGGGUAAUAAAUUUUAUUGCAAUUGUCAAAAAAAAAUAGUACUGGUAUAAUGCGAACCCUAAAUCCUGGGACAAUCUGUGGAAUAAUGCAUAGCAUGUUGUCAAUAGUUAUGUACACACACAUCAUGCACUCCUAUAAUAUACAAGCAAAUGGGUGUUCUAGAGGAAAUUUAAUUAACUCUUUGUAACAAAUAUUUCUUGUUCAAAAAAUCACAAGGAAAAAAGGUCUCAAGAAAUGGAACAAGCAUGUAGCAGGAGGGUGGUAAUACAAGUCCUAGGGGAGCUCACCUGGUAAUCUGAUGGAGUUUCCUCUUCUUUUGAAGCUUGAAAAGGAAGCAGCUUUGCCUUUGGCUUUUCCAAUGAAAAAACUACUGGUAUUCCACCCUCAAUUCCAUGUUCUUUCUUGAGCCUGUACCUCACCUAAAAGUAGCAAUCACAACAUCCCAUUUGCAGCACAUCUUGACAUGUCAGUUAGCUGACGAAUGAAAUGGCAGCUUACAGUGGGACAGAGUUUUGGAAGAAGUAUCAAACUAACCGAUCGAGAGAGGGGAUCAUUGCUUGAUUCUCUCAAAUCUGCAACACGAAUUCUGGUGGGAUCAGCUCGAGCUCCAGCCCCCAUUGCAGAAAGUACCUUCAAACCUCUGCGCACGCAAGCUGCAAGGAGUGCCACCUAAGGGGCAAGGAUAUUUGAACGGUUACAAAAAAAUGAAGACAAACAUUGACAAGCUUACAAAUGAUAUAUUCGUAACUAAUGUUCAAUGAAGCCAUUCGGGCUAAAAAAACAGGUUUCAACUGUCUAUGCAGGGUGGCUUUGUGUACCUUAAUCAUCAGAUACAGAGGUAAGGGAAAUUUGAGUUUACCUGUCCGCGUUCCGUCGUCGUGCCCUGGCCGCGCUCCGACGUCGCGUCCCGGCUGCCCCGGCGAGCCCCUGACCACUCGCCCCGGCCACCCGGCGAGCCUCGGCCGCGCGUCCCGGCCGCCCUGGCCACGCACCGCGGCAAGCUCUGGCCGCCCACCCGCCCUGGGGAGCCCUGGCCGUGCGCCAUGGCCAGCGAGCGCUGGCCACGCUCGCCCUGGCCAGCGAGUCCCGGCCGCGCGCCUGCCCCGUCGAGCCCUCGCCGCGCUCGCUCCGGCUGUCUUCCUUGUGCGUCGCGGAAGCCCUGGCCGCGGGAGAUCUGGCCGCGCGCCCGCGGCGGUCGCCCUGGCCGUGCGAGCCCUGUCCGGCGCGCAGUGGGCGCGCGCCCGCCCUGGCGAGCCCUAUGCGUCCCGGCGAGUGAGCCCCGGCCGCACACCUGCCACGCUCGCCUUGGCCGGCGAGCACCGGCCGCACGCCCGCCCCGGUGACCCCUGGCCGCGGUCGCCCUGGCUGGCGAGCACCGGCCGCGCGCUCGCCCCGGCGACCUUGGCCGCCCCUGGCCGCGCUCGCCCUAGCUGCGCUCGACUUCGCCGUGAACUAUUGAUCCUGGAAGAAAAAAAUAUACAAAUGCAGGUGUCUGGGCUCGAACCCGCGACGUGGCUUCUGAAGGCGCAGGCUCGCGCGCGUGUGAGAGAGGAGAGUUGGAAGCGGCUUCUAACAUCUUAAUCUGAGACGUCCGAUUUAUUGGGCGUGUGUUAACAGUCGUUGAUUUUGAAGUAGGGAGGUGACUUGAUUUCAAUUAUAGUAGAGAUAGCUCUAACUUUACAUUACAAGACCAACGCCUACACAUCUAGCGGGCACUGAGGCUUUGUUUAAUUCGCGAAAAGAAAUCUUUUAAGUAUUGUAGGACAUUUCUGAUUAUGCAAUUAAUAUUUAAUCACUAAUUAAGCUUAAAAGAUUUAUCUUGCAAAAUAUAUAUAAAUUGUGUAGUUAGUUAUUUAUUUUAAUCUAUAUUUAAUGCUCUAUGUAUAUGUUCAAACAUUCAAUGUGAUGGGGCAAAAUAUUUUUAGAUGGGAACUAAACAAGGCAUGAGAAUUGAAGGGCAACCACCAAAGGGCACACUAUCGGGGUUUUACUUAGUUAAAUCUUGAGCCGGGAUUAUGCUAGAAUCGAACAACACUAGCUAGUAUAGUGCCCUAGACAGAUAAGAGGUCGGACCCAUUAUUAAAGAAGUGAGAGGCUGGAUACGUUUGAUGCGGGAGUGCAGCGCGCAUCUCCCAAGUGAAGACAAAUGGUAAUAGUGUGACGGAUACUUUAGCUUUAUAUGCUAGAAAAUUUAAACACUUUGCGGCUUGGUUGGGUCAAGCUCGUGCGUGUGCCUUGAACUCAAUCAAUGUUGAUUGUAAUUCCCCUGUUUCUAGCUAAUAAAGCUUUCUCUUUACUCAAAAAAAAACAACGAUGCCUUCAGGAAUUCAUUUUGCUCCUUCUCUCACUACUAGAUGAAAUAUUUUGCGAGGCCUUUUGAAAUACACCUCCGAGGCAGGCAGGAUUUUCAACCGCCUCGGUUAAUAUCUACCAUUAAUCGAGGCGGUUAUUUUUUAUUAACCGAGGCAUUUACAAAAACCACCUUGUAAAAUCGAUUAACCGACGCGAAGAACUUAAAAAUGCCCGCCAUGAUUAAUAUCGAUUAACCGUGGCAGUUGUUGUAAAGUGACUGUCUCGGUAAAUACAUUAACCAAGACGGUUACAUUACAAAGCCCGCCUCAGUAAAUAUUUGGCCCAUACAGCCCAUCUAGGCUCGGUAACGGGUUUCUAAUAUAUACGUGAGCACAACAAACCCUAACUCCACUCCUCCCCUCCCUCGCUCUCAGUCGUGCAGCAGCCCAUCCCCUCGGCGUGAACAGACCGAGCUUUUUCUCAAGCUUCUCUUCCCCAGCCGUGCGUCGUGCCCCAUCCCUGCCCCGUUCCCAUAGCCGGCGGCCUCCUCUUGAGCUUCCCUCCCGUCAGCGCCCAUCUCCCUCCCUUAUUCCCAACCACGACAGCAUGUAGGCUGGGUGCGCGGCGCGGCACCCUCUCCCUGCGGUGGCUCAGGGACGUGGCCCCUCCAAUGGGGUACGACGUAGGUGGCGCGACCCCUCUAGCGGCGUGGCGCGUGGAGCGUGUCCCCUCUAACGCUGGCAAGACCGAGGGGACGCAACUCCUCUCGACUCCGGCGGCGGCGCGGGGGGCGCGGCCCCUCCUCUAUCUAUGGUGUGAGGCCGGAUCUGGCUUCUCCAGCAUGGAUCUGCGCGUAGGGCAGCUAAAUCCGAGCGGCAACGGCGCUCUUGGCGUGGAUCUGGCGUGGGGCGGCGGCGGCGCUCCUCCUGUGAUGGCGGCUGUCCAGCGAGGACCAGCGAUGACAGCGACCCAUGUAUGGGCUCGACGGGCUUGUGAUGGGCUCACCGGGCCUAGCCAUGGAUUUUUUUAUUUGAUUAACCGAGGCGGGCAGCAAAACGCCUCAGAAAAUACCUCCAUUUAUUAUGACCUUUCAUUCGAUGUGUUUUUGUUGCCCGCCUUGGUAAAUAAAAAAUGCUCGUCUUGAAAAUGAUUUUCCGUAGUAGUGUCUUCGUGUCUUCGCUUUCGGGUUUUACUUGGUGUCUUGAACUCGUAUAGCAUGUCUUGUUUGUUCUCAACGGUAGCUCUAGUGUCUUGUUCGAGGUGCUGAUCACUCCAACCUUCAGAGUGCCUAAUUCCAAGCCAACCUUACAUCCAAUGAACUAAACCUAACAGGUUUUUGGCUGUUGAUUACAGCUGCUGUCAAGAAUAGUUAGCAAUUAUUCCGCUGGUAAGGGCCACAGUAUUCAAAGAAUUUAUAAACAAUAAUAUCCUCGUGCUUGUGCCCUCGUGAGCUGCACAUUUAUUAAUGUGCUCUAUCUUUCGCGCAUUCCCAUUUGAACUGGCAAAGGCCAGAUUGUGGUAUGUCUAGCGCAAAUGCAUGCGUCGUUAAUAAAUUUUAAAGAUGUAGAAGAGGACAACUUUAACGUUCAUAUAUUACGAAUGGGUUCACUUUUACCCCCCUCUAUAAAAAAUAUCGAACUGUUUAAGCUUUGUCUUAAGUCAAAUUAAACUUGGGUACCUUUAACUUUACAUGAUACAACGCGGUAUUAAUUUAUUUCAUCUCUUCAACAUGAUAAAGCGUAUUUAUCUUUUCUUUUUGAACAUUAAGCGUAUCAAUGAAAAAAUUCCGGCCUCUGCAUUACAAUGUUACCAGCUUAUAUUGUUAAUCUCUUGAAUAGUUCAACGAUUCUUAUCGCAAAGCAAUUAAGUUCAAACAACAGAAAACCAAAAGUAGGCGACAACAUGGAGUCAUUAUUAGUCAUCAAGCACGGAUUCGGGCAUAUUAUAACAACAAUCUAAAAGCAUUUCAUCUUCUCAUAACAGGCUAUCAUUGCAACACAUUAUGGACGGUCGGCCAUUAUUGGAUGAUCGGGCAGCUCGAAGUUGCGUUGCCUGUCUGCUGUCGCCCUAGCUUAGCCAAUGUAGUACAAGGGGUCGGGCAGCUUGAAGGUGCGCGCACCCUCCGGUGCGCCAAGGAUGUCGCUCCACUGGUCGCCGAUGUUGCCGACGAUGACGUACCCAGCGUUCUGGAGCUUCUGCCGUGCACCGGACUUGUAGCCGAUGGCGGUGCCCUUGAAGCCGAUGGGCUUGAGCAGCAGAUGCAUCCAGCCGGAGUAGCCCUGGCGGCGGAGGUUGGUGACGGUGAUGGCCCUCUGGUCCUCGGUGCGCCCCGUCAGGAACACCGGCUUGAUGCCGAGCGAGAUCAGCUUCUUGAAGAGCCGCUGCGUCUCCGGCAGCACCGGCGCGCUCCCCUCCAGCACGUACUCGUUGAAGCUCGUCGCGUUGUAGGGCUUAGUACUGUGAUCAAGAAAAGAAACACAUGGAUUCGCAGGUUCGUUAUAAUUAGCACAUAGCGUGUUAGUUUUAAUUUAUUACGUCAGUGUGAAUGGAAAACUAUAUAUGUACAUGGAUACGCACGUACCCGAAGCCGUGUUUGGCGUAGUAGGGGAGGUUGGAGAGCGAGGUCUCGUCGAUAUCGAACACCCACACCUCCUUGCCGUUGCCGGCGAGCUUGAGCCCCUCGGCGUACGCGAUGGCCUCGUCGGCGACGACGCGGGAGUCCAGGCGGUAUUGCCGGCCGAGCAUGUAGUGGCCGACGUAGUGCUCGCAGUUGGCGGGCACCGUCUUCCAGUCGCGCUUGUUGUAGGCCUCCACGGCCAGGCGCCAGCUGUCGCACGGCACGCCGGCGCGCCGGCCCAGGUCUCCGGCGGAGCCUACCAGCGGGUGCAGAGCGUGGAUCAGCGGCGCGGCCAUGCCUUCCUGGAGACGGGCCGCCGCCUCCUCUAUCGCACGCGUCG
This 89137-nucleotide long non-coding RNA is filed under the name Sorghum bicolor (sorghum). Its description in RNAcentral is "long non-coding RNA (SBIC_LNC015522)". Lineage: Eukaryota; Viridiplantae; Streptophyta; Magnoliopsida; Poales; Poaceae. The record is from RNAcentral.